GGCAACUUGUCUACUUAAAUCUCACCGAUAAUCGUAUCAGUGGGUCACUUUCCCAAGAUAUUUCUGAUAGCUUGCCCAAUGUCGGUUACUUGCUUCUUGGAAACAACCUUAUAAGUGGUCCUAUUCCAAACUCAUUGUGCAGAAUAGGGUCCUUGUACAAUCUUGACCUUUCAGGAAACAUGUUAGUUGGUGAAAUUCCUAAUUGUUGGAGUGUUACUCAAAGACUCGGUGUCAUAAAUUUGCAAUCCAACAAGUUAUCAGGUGUCAUUCCUAGCUCUCUUGGUAAUCUACCAACGUUGGCAUGGUUACAUUUGAACAAUAACAGCCUUCAUGGGAGCUUUCCAUCAUCUUUGAGAAAUUUAAAUCAACUUUUAAUUUUGGAUGUUGGAGAGAACCAUUUGUCUGGGAUUAUCCCUUCAUGGAUGGGGAAUAUCUUUUCCUCAAUGCAGAUUCUAAGGCUACGGCAAAACAGGUUGAAUGGAACAAUUCCUUUACAAUUGUGCCAACUUUCUGCACUGCAAAUUUUGGAUCUUUCAAACAACAAAUUGAUGGGUCGAAUCCCUCAUUGCAUCGGAAAUCUCACAGGUAUGGCCUCAAAAAAGAAUAUUUCUGCAAAUCAACCUAACAGAACAAUUGAAUGGUAUGAACAAGAGGUUAUAGUGGUGAUGAAAGGAAGAGAACUUGAGUAUACGAGAAAUCUAAAACUCGUGGUGACAUUGGACUUGUCAAAUAACAAUUUGAUUGGAUCAAUUCCAGAAGGAAUAACAUCUUUUCGUGCAUUGCUUAGCCUAAAUCUAUCAUACAAUCUUUUGACAGGACAUAUCCCCAAAAGGAUAGGGGACAUGAAAUCACUAGAAUCUCUUGACCUCUCUCAUAACCAACUUUCUGGUGCAAUUUCUGAAACGAUAAAUGGUUUAAGUUGGUUAAGCCACUUAAACUUGUCCUACAACAACCUUUCAGGACCAAUCCCCCAAGGACCUCAAUUAUCAACCCUUGAUGAUCCUUCUAUUUAUGGUGGCAACUCAUUUCUAUGUGGACCUCCACUGCCGAAUAAGUGUUUUGAUGAUGAUUUCCAAGGAGGUGAUGAAGAUGAAGAAAAAGAUCAGAAAGAUAAAGUAGAGAAAUUGUGGUUUUACUUUGUCAUUGCACUUGGCUAUUUUAUGGGAUUUUGGGCUGUGAGUGGAAGUUUGUUGUUGCAGAGCAAUUGGAGGCUUGCUUACUUUCAAUAUAUUGAGGAGUCAACACAGAGGAUAAAUGUAUCAUUGACAAUACAUUUAGCAACUUUUAAGGAGAGAUUGACAGGAAUGGUGGUGCUGAGUGACACACUAUGGUAGUCUUUAUCCAUUCUGUCUCUCUUUUAUGUUAUUGGAGGAUUUCAUGUUUAUUUUGUUUGAUAAAUAAAUUAGUUAGAUUUUGUAAAAUAGUAAUAAAUGUAAGUUGUAGAAUUUCUAGUUUAACUAAUAAUUGCUGAAAUAUUGCAGAGUGUAUCCUUUUCAAAUUCCAAAAUAAUCUGAGUGAUAUCCAAUCUCCCCUACACUCAUUUAAGAAAGUUGACGUUUUUGGUGACUUGAACUAAUCAUAAUAAUAAUAAUAAUAAUAAUAAUAAUUAUUAUUAUUAUUAUUAUUAUUAUUAUUAUUAUUAUUAUUAUAUAUUUUUAGUUCGAACAUGAAGAAAAUUAAAAUGGGUGUUCAUAGUUCUGACUUUUGCGAGAGUUUUUCUCUGUACCACUGUUGUAUAUAAAUUUUAUACAUUGUCAUAAGAUAUUGCUUUUUUAUUACAAAAUUAAUUUUAUACUGAAAUUAUUUUUUUUUUCAAAACAAACAAUAUUUAAAUUUAUUGUUUUGAACCAACUCUUAAACUAAAAUAAUUAGCUAAAGAAAUUUUAAAUUAUUAUACAAGUAAAUACUUCUUCACCUCAGUGAUAAAAAGAAAAAGAAGACCAUGUAUGGGAAAUACGGUAGAUAGUUAAUUCAUGAGUAAAAUAUAUUUUAAAUUUUUAAACUGAUAUUUAUUAAUGUUUCAAAUUUGAUACAGAAUUAUUUCAAAUUUUAAAAAUAAAUACUUAUAAUUAUUUCAAUUCAGUGUUAAUUUUUUUUUUUGUGUUAAACAUUUUUUAAAAUUAUAACUUUCAGUCCAAAUAUUAGUCUAGAAUAAAAUUUAAGUUUAAGAAUUAAAAAUAUAUUUAAUUUUUAAUUUAUUUAUUUAUCAUUUAUACAUUAAAAAAAUUCUUAUAAUAACUGGUUACUUGGACAUUAUCCAAGACUUUUGCUUCCAAGCAAAUAUAUAAAUAUGAAAGAAAAUAAUCCAAAUUAUUUUUAUUAUUAUAUUUUUCAAUAAAAAAUAAAAAAUAUUUUUAUAUUAUUUUUCAAAAACAUAUAUUAUACUUUUUACAAAUAUUUCUAAAUUAUGCAUUUCUGAAUGUAUAAUUAAAAAAAAUUAGGUUUAAUCCUUUUAAAUGUAAAAUUUUCGCAAAAGUUCUUAAACUUAAAUUAUUAAUAGAGAUUUGACUCAAAAGUCUUCCAAAUUAAGGAAGUUGUUAUAAAAUAAAAAGGUUAAAUCGAUAUUUUAAAAUAAAAUGAAGUUACAAAAACAUAUCAUAGAUGUGCCUUUAAAUUUAAAUUAUUUAUAUUCUCUGCAAUCUUUAAGCAAGUUGUUAUAAAAUAAAAAGGUUAAACCGAUAUUUUAAAAUAAAAUGAAGUUACAAAAAAAAAAUCAUAGAUGUGCCUUUAAAUUUAAAUUAUUUAUAUUUUCUGCAAUCUUUAAAUUUAAAAUUAUUUAAAUUUUCUGCAAAACCAAAUUACAUUUCUCCUACAUUGGUUUUUUAAUUUAUUUUCUCUCAAACCAAUUAAAAUUUUUUCUACUUAAUUUUAAUUAAUUUUUUAAAUUAAACUAAUUUUAAUUUUUUUUUCUUCUUGUGUCUUUUCCCUACUUUUCUUUUUCCUCUUCCCCUUCACAGAAUUCACAAGAUUCUGUUCCAGAAAUUUGUCCCAAAACACGAAUUUUAAUUAGCAAAAACAACUAAAAAACGUGACAGCUAGAUCUGGCUCCAGUACACACAGAGGAAAAAUAAUAUGAAAUUCCCUUCAGAUUUUGACAUUACCAGAAUUAUCUGUGGAAAAACAUAUCACGUCCAACGUGAAUUCACCAUCUUGACUUUUGCUAAACGAUUUCCACAUUUAGAAAUGGACAAAAGGCCAAUAUGAACACUUAAACCAACGCUUGACUUUGCCUUUUCUGACUGUGAUGGAGCUCUGGAACGAAGAUGAGUGGAGGUUUCUAUUCAUUUUUUUUGUAUUUCCUCUACUUUUAAAAUAUACUAUUUUUAUAUAUUAAAAAGGUUUUUAGUACUAUCUUUUAUUUAUUAAGAAUGUUUUUAAUAUAUUUUAAAACAUUAAAAUCAGUAUUUUAAAGACACAACAAAUUUUAAGGCUCGGUAAUUUAAUAUUUAUAUUUAUGUUUUUUAUCUAUUUGUCUUGUUAAAUAGAGUUAAUGUACUCUUAAAUUGACAUGUCAUUACUUAAUUAUUAAUUUAACUUUUAUAUUAUUUUUUACACAAUCGAGUUCGUGUUAUUUUUUAAAUUAAGACAGUGUGAUAUCUUGUUUCUUCCGUAAAAUUAAUCUUAACAUAGGUAAGAAGUAAUCCUGUAUGAAUCUAAAUCUUUUAGAUCCAUGCUCACCUCCUUCGUGUUCAAAAGGAAUAAGUUUUUUUAAGAAUUUUUUUUGACAAUUUUUUGACAACACAUACGUGACAGAUGAUUGGUUCGUUUUAAAUACUUUUCAAGAAGGGUAAUGAUACAUAGACAAAAUUUUUUGACAACAUUUGAACAUCAUCAUACGUGUCAUUGUGUAAUUGGUCCAAAUGACACAAUGACACCACCAUGGACCAAUCACACAACGACACGUGUGAUGAUAUUCAAAUGUUAUCAAAAAAUGUUGUCUAAGUAUUUUUAUCCUUUCAAGAAUAAAUUCAAACAUACCAAUAAAAUAGUAAUACAUGUCCAAAAGUUGUUAAGAAAAAGUUGUUAAAAUAUCAUUAUCCUAUUCAAAAUCCUUUUCUUCAUUUUAUAUAUUACAAUUAUAGAUUAAAAAUUUUGGUUUUUAUCUAUUGCAUCGUAAAUAAAUGAAUAUAUGAAUUUAAUUUAGUUUAGUUGUGAUUUUUAGAUUCUUUCCUAAUUUGACUUUUUAUGUAAGUUAUUUUUAAAUAUGUUAAUAUGGUCUUUCUCACGUGAAAAAGAUCGCGAUGCCAAAAUAUGUGCAAAAGUCCUGUGUGUUAGGAUUAAUUCAUUUGUUUUCUUUGUAAAAAAGUAUUCAUUUUGAAUAUGAGAAAAAAAAAUACAAUUAAUUUUUAAUCCGUUAUAAAUUUAAGUGAUUUUUAUUUGUUAAAAAAUUAUAUACAAAAAUUUUAAACAUAUUAACAUAAAUUUUGUAAAAGAUUUCAAUAAACUCGGAUGUUUGUUUAUAUAAAAAAAAAUAUGUAACAAUAUAAAUGUGACAUCCCAAAUAUCAUAUUCACAUAUAAUAUAAUAGGAUUCAGCUAUUACAAUAUGUGAAAGUAGUUAAGAGAUAAAGAUGACAAUAUUUAAAUAUUUAUACAGUUAUCCGAAAUUUAGUGGAAAUUAAAACGAAAUAAGACUUGAGUACAAGUUCCCCAAAGUUCUCCAAAAUACAUAAUAAACUAAAAUCGAAGGAUGCCUAGAGAGUGUUUCCAAAAAUUAACAAGCUAUUGAAAUAAAAACUAAUAAACGUCCUAAGUACUAGGGGCUGGAUCUUCCUCAGUCUCUCACGCCUGCUCCAAGGGUACCUCAUCACCUACUGCUCACAUCCAUAGGAUUUGAUGAUCAUCGCAAGGGGGAAGGCAAACACAUACAAACAUACAAGUGCAAGGGUGAGCUAGGUCUCAAACAAUCAUACAAUUCAUUGCAAGAACGUUCAUACACACUUAAACAUGUAAGUCAUCAUAAACAUAAACAUUCAUUUCACAAAACUCACUAAANCAAACAUCAUGUCAUGUUAAGACUCCUAGACACGUCCGGACAUAGAAUGUAUAUAGAGCUGGGGCGGGUUGUGCACUUGUGGUGGCCUCUACUGCUUUGCAAAGCCAUUGCCGAGGGGUUUCACCCGACCACACACAAGGUCGGUCCGUUACCACGGAAUAGACCUCCAGUGAUAGCGUCUACCCUAGGACCUCCCACUACUCUCACCACACGCGUCAAUCCUCUCUAAGUGAGAAUGAAAGACCGUUAGAGUGUUAGGGAUAACCCCCCAUAGUGGAAGCCUCUUACAUACAUUCAAUACACUAACUGAUCUCAUCGAGAGAUCUUAAUUUCAUAUUCAAUCCGACCACUUCAAAUCACCUGAUAUUCCUCUUGAAUCAAUAAUGUACCUCAUAAACCACUUUGCUUCAUCAAACAUAAAAUUUCAUAGUCAUUCAAGUACAUUCUUACUAUAUUGGCUCAUACCAAACCCAUACNCCAUCACACAACAUCGACCAUGUCAUAAAACAACUCAUACAUUACAUACUUUCACAAAACCAUCACUUAUUACCACAAAUUUCUUUAUGAUAUUUAAUUAUUAAUACUUAAGUAAUUCAAACAGCCUUGGGACCCUCACCAAUGGUUCCGGAAGGGUAAAAACCCCCAGAACAACCUAAAGAAUGUCCAAAACGGACGUCCGGAACUCCCAAAACGUCAAAAACAAAAAUGACAGCAGAAACAGUGUGCUGAAUGGCGCCCAGGUGGCGCCCAGCGCCAGGAAACAGAACCAAAUGGCGCCCAGCGCCAGUUAGGUGGCGCCCAGCGUGGAUUCUGCAGGUUUUAUGCAGAUUUUGCACAACUCACACCCCUAAGUUCCGUUUUAAACCUUUUUAUGAAUUUCUAAUCAUUAUAACUCGAAAUUUAGGUGUAUUUAAACUUGUCUAAAGGUGUAUAAACAUUCCUAACCUCAAUUCCUAACAACUAUGCAUAGAUUUACACUAAAAAACCUCAAUUCUCUCAACUUAUGGGCUCAAACCUAGAUUUAACACUUGAGGACUGUUCUUGGCUAUUUUGACACUUCUCACAAGUUACUUUGAACUUACAUAAGUUGUCUUAACUGCCUAAUUCAAGUUAUAACCCCUAGAGCUCAAAACCACUACCUCACUUCCUCUAAACUCACCCAAAACACUAGUUUUUCCUCAACCUAAGGACUCAAUUCCACUUCUACCGUCUAGGACCUCAUUUUAACAAUUUCUAUGAUUCUAUUAAGUCACAAUAGACUUACUAACAGUGUCCCAAUAGACCAAUUAUACUUCAGACAUCAACUUCUCAAAAUCACUCCCUUACUUCCUCUAUUUUGCCCCAAACAUUAUAAUUUCACUUAACACUCUACCUAAUAGUUCUUGAAACAGAUUCACCUUACUAAUAACUCAAUCACAACCACACUUCUCCUCCAAAUAUACAUAUUCACAACACCAAUUCAGUUCCGCAAUUUCUCAUUCAAUUACAUACAACAUACUUUCACACCAAACACAAUUGUUCAUCAAACCAGAAAAUAAUACAGAUUUCAACACAUGCAUAAUUCAUACAAACAAUGAAAAACAGUAUCUAGCUCCCCUUACCUCUAGUUUAGACAACCAAGCUCAAGUAGGAACUCUAAACCACUUGCUUGAAAACCCAAAGUAUGAGAAUCACCUAUGAAUCACCAAUUGAUGAUGGAAAAUGAAUUUUAGAACCAAAUAGAAGCUAGAUUAUGGAAGAAAACGAAAUGGGUUGCUUGUAGCAAGAAAUUGCAUGUUUACAAUCCUAGGAAAAAAUGGAGAAAGGGGUUUUCUUACCCGUUGGAUGAAACGAAGAUUUAAUCGGUGGGAAUGCUCCUCUUGAAGCCCUAAAGGCUUGGGUAGCUUCAAUUCAAGAAACAAACGGUGAAAAUUCGAGUUUGGAUGGAUGGAAAAUGGAGCAAUGAAGAAGAAAAGAAGAAGAGUUGUGUUUUAUGAGGAAGUGUCCUGAAAGAACAUGAGAGUGCAAAACUUUUACAAAAGUUUAUUUUUGUGCAUUUAGCCUUGGUCCAAAGACUAGCUGCCACGUGUACUCCACUAAAAAAAAUAUUUUUUUUUCAAGGCAUUACAAUAAGAUAUUAAAAUAUUUGACUAGUUAAAUAUAUUUAAUUUUUUUUGACAAUCUAAACAUAUUUUUAAAUUAUAUAAAAUAAUCAUUUAAUUUUGAUGUGGAAAAAUUCAUUUAAAUCUGAAUUAAAACUAAAUAAAACAUAUUAAUAAUAAAUUUAAGAAUAAUACAUUUUUGAUUUUUUAUAUGUUUUUUUUUAUUUUCUUUUUUUAAUGUAUGAUUUAAAUUUUAUCAAUUAUUUAUUUCUCUUUAAUAAUGAUUAAAUAUAUAUAUAUAUAUAUAUAUUAUAUAAAAAAAAGUUGAAUUUUACUAUAAUUAAUUCAAUAUUCUCUCAUGGGUUAAACUUCAUGUUUCUUGUUUACAAAUUUAUCUUACAUACUGCUUUAUUAAAUAUUAUAAAUUUUUUUCUUUAAAAAGUUAAUAAAAUUAAUAAAUAGAUUAUAAUUAAUGGUUAUAUUAAAUUAUAUAUUAUAUAUUUUAUUUUAAUAAUAUAAUAACAAGAAUCUUAAAAAAAAAAUAUCGAUUUAAAUAUAAUAAAAUUAUAACAAUUAACUUAUCUAAUAAAAUAUAUAAUUUUAUAUGUGAGUAUAAAUAAUAAUAUUAAUUUUAAGAAUUAAUUAAAGUUAUGUAAGAUAAAAUUUAUUUUAUCUCUAAUCCUAACUCUUUUAAAUAUAACACCAGGGGAAAAAAAAUACUUCUAUAACCACUUAUUAUCAUAAGUAACGUCCAACUGUCAUAAAGUAACAUUUUUAAAAUAAUAAAAGUAACAUAACUGAUAAAAGUAACAUUUUUAUAAUAAAAGUAAAAUGGGUUAUAAAAGCAACAUUUUUAUAAUAAAAGUAACCAUAAUAUUCCUUUGCUUUUUGUUCAUUCACGUCAUACUCUCUUUUUUCUCUUCUCUUAUGGUUUCAGUACAUAACGCAUACUCUCUUCUCUUGACCGCCAUCCCAUAGGCCCUUGUCUCCACGCCAUCUCCUCCCCACGUCAUUACUUCUUUACGCCCUCGUCUCCAAGACGCCGUUAACGGAAGUCAGUAUCAUCUCCGACCGAUCUCUGGGUUUGCUGCGUUCUCUGCUUCCGUUUGGGCAAUUAGGUUUUCUCUCUUUCCUCCACUUAGGUGUUUGAUAUUUUGAAAUACUACUACUGGGCUUAACUGUUAUGAAAUACUGCAAUUUUGAAAGCUGAUAAAAUGUAAUUUUAGAUCAUUUUUGCGAUUUUGUUCUAUUUUUUGGCCUGAAUAUUGAUAAAUUUCAUAUCAUUUUGGUUAGAAAUGAACCUAGGGACAAACUUCGUGCUCUAACUAAGGCAGCGACUGUGUAGCUCUUACACUUGUUAGAGGAUGCGGACUUUUUUUAUUAAGGGAAACUUGUAGUGUAGAGAUUUAAGAUCGACAAUGUUGUAAUGACACUAAAUGCUGAGUGUAAAAGGACAACAAGAGAAUAUAAUGUAGUGGAGGUCUAUUAGGUUUCAUUAGCUAGUUAAUUAGGUCAGUGAACUGAAAGAACAAGAUAAUAAAUAAGAGGGUUGAGAGAGAGAUCUGUUUGUCAUUUUAAUAAAUGAUUAUACUUUCAGAAAAUGGAGACCGAGAGGGAACAUGGUCUCUUGAAUACCCUCAAUAUUAUUAAAGUUAAUUUCUUUUAUAAUCAGUGUCUAUUAGUGAUAAAAUUGCUGUAUUGUCAUUUUUUGCAACAUUGUCAAUGUCAUUUCUUAGAAAUUCAUCCAUUGUGAUAUGAAAUGUUUCUGAAAAAAAUAAUUAGUUGUGGGAUCGUUAGUACCAUUCUAAUAGAUAGUAUCCUGAACUUGGAAUGCUUUUUUAUUGUCUUGAUAGUAAACGUCCCUGAGAAAGGAGCAAGGAAGCAUCCACGGGGUGAUAACAUACAGUUAUCUAAUCUUGAAAAGUUUAACCUCUGUCAUUUGUUUCUUGUUUGUUCUGUGAUAUGAUAUGAUUUAUGAAAUUUCUUGCCUGGUAUUAUUUUGGGGCUGCCUUUGAACCUGAAUAAUUCAAAAUUAUGCCUUUAUAUUUUGGGGGACUGCAUUUAUGUUUAUAAUUAUCAUUUUUAAAGACCUUACCAUCACCUAAUUAACAUGAGAGUACUAAUGCUAGAUACAUCUGAGGCUAUAGGUGGUUGGAGGUUAAUUAUGAGGAUGAAAAUAUUAGAUAGAUUAGUUCUUUAGGAACUCUUUCAUCUCCUUAGCAAGUAUUCGUCAAAAUUUUGUCAAUGUUAGUUAGGUUCAACGAUCAGUUCUCAAUCAUUUAGUCAUUAAUUUGCAUAACUGUCCACUUAUUUUUUGAUAUAUAGAUUGACACAAAGAACAUUCUCUUCAUAUGUGCUGGAGCAUUUAUUGACCUUGAAAAAACUAUUUCAGAGAGGUAAAUUUUUUCUAUUUUUUUGUAUUUCUAGAAAGAUUUUUUGUUUAUAGAUUUUUUUGCCUGUCUUGAUUUUGUUAGACUUCUCAUCUAAUUUUGAUUUGUGAAAAAGAGCAGACGGCAAGAUUCUUCUAUUGGUUUUGGGAGACCAAUCCGUGCCAAUGUGACAGCUAGUGGGGUUACACAUGCUGCAGUAACAUCAUCUUUACUUGAGUCGGUAAGAAUCGAUUAUGGUUAUCGGAAUUAGUAUUUUUUUUUUCCACCUUUCUGUAAAACUAGUCAGGCAGAUACUUUGAUUAAUUCAGACUAAAAUGAAUCAUGUGAAUUAGCUAUUCUUAUGUGCACUUUCCAUACUUCUACAUCAUAGAGAAAAAUACUGAAGUUAGAGAAUAAUAUUAUUGUAGCCAACAACCUUCGAAAUGCAUCUAAAAGUGGCAUCAGUUAUUUCAGGUGGAAAGUGCUGAUCUUAUUACAUAUGGUCUCAUCCCAGAGUUUAUCGGACGGUUUCCAAUCUUAGUUAGCUUAUCAGCUCUACGUGAAGACCAACUCAUGCAGGUAUUAUAAGCAUUGUUCAAAUCUUAGUUAUUGUAGUUUUUCCUGCUUUCACUAGCAAUUUAGUGCAUCAAGAGCUAACUCUGCUUGUUGUGUUAAUGAUCAUUCCGUUUUUCACUCAUUGUUGGCGUGGGUGCACACAUGUACAAGGAUUCUUUUUAUAUUAAAUGUUUUCUUAGAAAAGCUAGAAGUUAUUACGACCAUUGUUAUUGGUACGUAGUUGGUCUACAAUUAGAUACAUUGGUGUUUUCCUGGAAGAUGAAUGAUGAUGAAAUUAUGAAAAGAGAUUGUCCCAAACAGUAUAAUGCAAUUUCUUUAAUGUGUCUCUAAACUUAACAUACAAAACUAUAGUUGUUAACUGGUUACUCAUAAACAUGAGUGAACGUUACACCAUUUCAUGUGUUUUCAAUAAAUACUUUUUAGUUUAUCGUAAAGAUUGUGUCGGAAAAAGACUAAGUUUUUGUUUAAUUAGUAAUCUCAGGUUUGAAUCAUGUAUGCUGGCUGCAACAUUACAGACUUAGAAGAAAAGUUACUAUUCAUUAGAAAUCAAAUAGGAUUGUCUAAGUAUCAAGACUAUUGCAAAGUUUCUGGUAUCUUUGGUCAAACUAAUGUACAUCUACAAUUAUAAGUGGAUUCAUGUAUGUAUGUAUAAAUGCAACAGAUUUAGAUGUGAAUUAGAAGAAAAAUAGUCAACAAAGUUUCUGGUUGUUGAUCUGUCAGAUCUAUUAAGGUUAAUUGUGCAAAAGUUGGUCCUAGUGUGAAACUUAGUUUCACAAAAACCCAUAAAUAACUAAAACUUUUUGUACUAAUUAAAAUACUAAAUUCAAACAAUAAAAAAAUUAUAGACCCAAAAUUAUCUAUUAACAGUGCAGUUGUUGUUGCAGCUGCUAGUAUGCGCUGGAUAAUGGCUUCUAAGGAGGACAUCAAAAGAAUUGUUAAACCACUCUUGUUUGUGCUGCGAUCAUCAUCUACUUCAAGAUAUGUGGUAUGUAACAUUCCUUUGAAUCGUUUGUUAGUUUAUUUAUCUUGUCUUCCUUCAGUUCUUCUACAUGGUGAGUUACUUUCAUUUAUUUGUUAUUGGAUAUACUUUUAUAAAUUACACAUGAAUCCAUCUUUUGAGAACCUUGUGUAAAUGUCUAUAAUUUGAUUAUAGGUUGUGUUUUAUUCUUUACUCAUUAUAUUAUUACUGAUUGACUUUUAACUAGAUGAUGUCUCUACUCCCCCUUAAUUAUAUUUUUAUUCCUUAUCAUCCUUGUGCUCAUGAAACUUUUAAAUGACUUUAGUGAGAAGCAUAAGUUGAAUAUAGUGAAAACUAUAUAUGAGAUUAAUCUCCUUUGUAUUGAAUAUACACAUAGGAUCCUUUAUUUAUAAUAAAAGAAAUAUGGACUAAGCCCAAAAUACAAAUAAAAAAUAAUAACAAACUAAUUAAAAAUAAAAGAUAAAUAUAAAAUAAAGAUAAUAUAUCUAACACUCAUCUUAAGCUGGAGCAUACAAAUUGUAUGUACCAAGCUUGAAACAAAUACACUCAAUCCGAGGACCCCUUAAUGACUUGAUCAACACAUCUACUAGUUGAUCGUUUGAUCCAACAAACUUAGUAUAUAUUUUUUUAGUCAACAACUUUUCAAGAACAAAAUGAUAAUCAAUUUCUAUAUAUUUAGUCCUCUCGUGAAACAUUGGAUUUGAUGCAAUGUGGAAAGCAACUUGAUUAUCACAAUACAUCUUAAUAGUAUGGAUGUCACAAAAGUUAAGCUCUUAAAGGAAUUGUUUCACCCAUAUAAAUUCACAUGUGAGUGAUGUCAUCACCCUAUACUCGACUUCUAUUGUUGAUCGAGCAACUACAUUUUGUUUCUUACUUUUCCAUGAAAUAACGUUUCCUCCAAGAAAAACACAAUAUCCUGUAGUAGACCGUCUAUCAAUAGGUGAACUUGCCCAAUCUACAUCACAAUAUCCAAAGACAUGAAUCUUCCUUUAUUUUCAUAUAAUAAACCUUGUCUGGGAGCCUUUUUGUUAUACCUUAGAAUGCGAAUGAGAGCAUUCCAAUGGUCAACACAUGGAACUUGCAUGAACUGAUUAACCACUCCAACUACAAAGGAUAAAUCUGGCCUUGUAAUAGUGAGAUAAAUCAGUUUUUCAACCAACCUCCUAUACCUCUCUGGAUCGGAGAAUAAUUCACCUUCUUCGGUCCUUAAUUUCUGGUUUGGGUUCACGGGACUGUCUAUCGGUCUACAAUCAAUCAUGUCUGUUUCUUGUAAUAUAUCAAGAGCAUACUUACUUUGGGAGAUUACAACUCCAUCUUUUGAUUCUGCUACAUCAAUGUCUAAGAACUAUUUGAGACUUUCAAGAUCCUUGGUUUGAAAAUGUCUACACAAGUAAUUUUUUAGUUGAGAUAUUCCAACAUCAUUUCCUGUAAUGACAAUAUCAUCAACAUAUAUUAUUAACUAAACACAAUUCCCAAGAGAAGAAUUACAGUAACAAAUCAAAUGGUCUACUUCACUACGUUUUAGCCAUUCAUCCUUGGUGAUCUUAGAAGUGGAAGUUUCAGGCUUCGAAGUAGAAGUUUCAAUCUUUGAAAUAUUGGCGAUUUUGGAACCAUGUAAGGAGUAGCAAUUCUCUUGAGUGUGGUCCAUCUUUUUAUAGUAUGUACAUUGAGGACGUCCCCGACCUCUUCCUCUUCCUCCUCUAGUGCCACGUCCUCCUCUUCCUCAUGUGACAACCAUGACAGAUGGUUCCACUAGUUCACGUGCUUCCUGAGUUUGAGGUACCGGGUAGAAGGUGAGUGGUCAAUGUUUCCAUGGAGGGGACCUCAUGACUGGUCAGAAGUUGAUUUCUCGGAUGAUCAAUAUCGGGAUGUAGGACACUCUGGAUCAACACCAUGUAAAAUUUGUCUAGUUUCUUGAUAUCCUCUAAUGGGUCUGCUUCCAAAAGUAUCCCGAGUUCUUCGACAGUAGAUUGGCUUCAACCAUGAAGGACAUCAUAUCAUGGUCUGUUAAUUUAAGAGAUGCAAACUUGUUUGCAAUGUCAUAGAGACGUUGAAUAUCGUUGGCAUAAAUGCUUUGAGCUUUCUUCCAAAAGGAGUGACAAAUUUUGAAAGCCCUCAGAGAUAUAAGAAGUUUGGGUUCCACUGAUUGCCAUAACAGAACACACAACACAUCUUAUAAUAAGGAUUUUUUUUAAUUAAUAUCAAUCAAAGUUAUUUUUGACUAGUGUAAAAUGUAGUUAUUAUAUAUGAUUUAUAUUGCUUAAUAUUUUUUUUUUUUAACUCAUGUUAGCUUAAAAGUUCAUGUUUUUGAGAUUAAUAAGGAUUGAUAGACGAGAAAAACCUCAUUGACAUUGGUAAAAAUGACUUUUCUUAUGUUUGCCUAAAACAAAAUUUGAUCAGUUGAAUGACUCUUCCAAUUGAAAAAAUUAUAUAUAAGUCGCAAACUAAUGUUGAUGUUGGUAAAAAAAAGGAAGUAAUAAUAGGAUAAUAUAAGUUUACAUUCAUUUAACAUAUAAAACAAAGAUAAAAUAAUUAUAAUAGAAUAAUUUUUUUAUAAUUUAAAAAAAAAGUAAAAGAAGAUAAAAUCAAAUAAAUAUAAAAAAAUUGGUUACCUCCAUUGCACUUUAUCCCUAACCAUGACCCAUCACACAUAUUAUUGUCACUUCACGAAUCAACCAAAAUCUGAGAGUAACCCAACUCCCAAAGAAAAUCCAACAACGCCAUCACCUCAAAUGCGCACAUAGCUUCAGGCUUCGACAAGCAAAAAUCAUUGUUUCCAAAACUCACUUUAUCCGCUGCAAAAUCAGGGAUUGGACCCAUGAAAUGGUUAUUACUCAAAUCCAACCGCUCCAACUUCAUCCCAUUCAAACCACACGAAAUCAAUCCAACAAACUCAUUCCCAUUAAGAUCGAAACCCCUCAGCGAGACCAAUCCCCAAUGUUCAUCGGAAUACUCCCACUAAACUUAUUCCUGUGAAGCCACUAAACUUAUGUCCAGUGAGCACUCCAAGUUUUAGUCCCAGACGAAGCAAGUUUCGCUCAUGCGAAAGAGUUUUAGUGGCUCAACUUUAGUUGCAGGACAUUUUUAGCUUAAACGAAAAUAUUUUAACUUAAGCGAAAAUAUUUAGUUCAAGCGAAAAUUGUUUAGCUUAAACGAAAAUAUUAAUUGGAAUGAAGAAUUAAAUGACAUGAGAAAUACAAUUGUAGAAAUUUCCAAUCAAUUACCAAACAAUUAAAAAAAAUCCACCCACAAUUAAAGGUAAUUGGAAGGAAAUGAAAACAUAUACAAGUCAACGUCAUUCAAAAGAUGGAAAUGAGUGUCCCUUGGCGCAAAAUAUUAGUUAUUAUUCCCACUUUGUGCAAGUGUAACAUGUACACCCAUUUGCUAAACCUCUUAACAAACCAUUGCCUACAACAUCCCACAAUUCCUCAUAAUUGCAUUUCGAUGAAUAUUUUCUUUAUGCAAGACCCACUCACAAAUCAUCUGUUGUCGAAGAACUUGUAAUUAUUCUUGCAAUAAUAUUAUUGUUGCAUAUUAAUCCAAUUAUUAUAAAUCAUAUUUAAAUAAAGAUAUAUGUAAAUAAUACAAACUGUUGUAUGAUCCGACAGUUUAUUUCCAUCAUAUUUAGGGAUGUGAUCUCAUAACUCCAUAUAUUUAGUAAUCAACACACCACAGUCAAACCUACACAUUAAACAAACAUUAUAAACAUCACACAUAGUACACAAUCAAAUAAAUUGGUUAUUCACAGGGUGAUUAAUGCAUCUGGUUGGAUUGGCAAAUCUUCUCAAACAAUCUUCAAUUCCCACUCCUCAUAAUUUGCCUCUUUGUUAGUCAUUAUGAAUAAAUUUUGCAAAGUACCAACCUUACAAAUUUAUAUUGAACACAGAUUAAAUACUAGUGUAAAGUUUCUAUCCUGAAAUAACACUUUCCUUAAGAAGUACGACAAUAGUUGUCUUACCAUAACCUUGUCAAUAGAAUUUAGUGAUGACAUUUCAUGACCAAGAGAAUCUUAUAUGAACAAUUUCCUUGAUUAUCAGUUCAUCAAAUAACAUCACCAAUGUCCUCAGUAGGCACAAACAACUAAAAAAACACAACUACAAACAUCAACACAUUUCAAUUAAUGUUAUGAUAAAUGUGUCAUACAUGUACUUACAAAUUCAUAUCUUAACAAAUGCCCUAAUGAAAAAAUUUCAGGUUGAAAGAAAUUGUGGUAAUUUAUUGCUUCCAAAGGUUGUCGGCUUCUUUUUGGUAUCUUCAUUCUUUUAAUAAUCAUCGUCUAUACAAAUUGCAUUGAAAAAAAUACUUCAAAAAUAUGUACUUUAUUACAAUGAAAGAAAAAAUAAUAAUUUACGUACAACAAAGAAUGGAUUGAAACAACAACUAAUAAUUCUUGUUUUUGUGCAUUUCAUUAUACAUCAUCAUGCUCGUGGCAAACAACAUAACUUACACGAAAACUUCAUUAGACUUAUUCACCUACUUAAAUGGUUCUUAUUAUAUAAUUUUUGGUUGAUAACAAAACUUACCAUAUUAUCAAUCUUCCCAUGAGGUCUAAGCAUUGCAUGUCUUUUUUGGUCAAAAUGUUGUUGGACACCACCUCUACAAGCGCUCUAAAAAGAAAACAAAAUGAUGAUAAUGUUAAGUUCAAACACAUUUAUAAAUCAUAUAGAUGCACCACAUGGCAUAGAGCAUGCUAGUGGCUAUACAUAAUGGAAGGAAUCAACUUAUGCAACAUUUGGUGUCCAGUUGGAAAGAGCUAAAAGGUUGCAUGAAAACAUGAUGAGGUAUGGUAUAUUAAUUAACGAAAAUGUUUUUAUGACAUCGGUUUUUGACACAAAUUUGACAUCGCCCCACAUGUCAAAUUUGUAUUGGAUGUCUUCACUUAAUUAAAAAAACCCUUUUAAAAAAGCUGAGGAGGGUAAUUUUGGAAUUUGGAUUUUAUGAAAUUUAAUUUUCGCGGUUUCAUUUUUCUUUUUCUUCACUUUUGUUCUGAACUUUCGUCUCUCUCAUUCAGCUUCUCUCUCCAUUCGCUUCAUCUCUGCCUUACUCACUCUCUCCCCUCGGCUGAUCGUCUCAUUGAAACGUAAAAUCCUAGCAAAAGAGGUCUUUCGUAAUCACUGUGUAUCGGUAAGCUCUCUUUCGCGUUUCACGUUUUGGGUCUGUUUGGGUUUGUUUGGGUUUCGGGUUUUCACUCUAUAUCGCAUUGUGUGGCUUGUAGAGAAAUGUAAAAUCCUUGCAAAAGAGGUUUUUUGUAAUCACUGUGUAUCGGUAAGCUCUCUUUCGCGUUUCGCGUUUUGGGUUUGUUUGGGUUUAUGCCUCUAUUUUAGGUUUUCGCUCUAUAUCGCAUUGUGUAGCUUGUGGAGCCGUACUUUAUUAUUGUUUUAUUUAUUCUUUUUGUGUUUUGUGAACCCUAAUCCACCAUUGAUUUAUUUGUAUGAAAUAUGUGCAGUUGCAAUGGUGUCCGAAAACCCAAAGGUAAGUUAAACUUUUGGUAUUAUAUAUAGUUUGUUUCUCCCCGUGGUGGACAUCACCGUCGAAGUCCAACGCCAUCCCCAACACCAUCUCCAUCAAUAUCCCCUCCACCACCUGGAAAUGAACUGUUCUUUUCACCUACACAAUACGAAAAAUUUGCUAUACAUUUUACCAAUCGAGACAUAUUGGAAAGCAAAUACCUCAAUGAGGUUUAUUAUGAGGUAAGGAAUUUUGAUUUUUACGACCUUUUACGAGACGCUGGACUCACCGAAUUUGUUUCUUUGAGAAAACCAUUCUACCCACAAUUAGUUAGAGUUUUCUACACCAACAUGCAAAUUUCUGAUAAGAGAGUUAUUCAAAGCGAAGUCAAAGGGGUUAAAAUUAGAGUCAGUCCUAAUCUUUUUCAACAACUCACUUCCCUCCCAUGUACCGAAGUUCGUUAUGAACGAGGUCUUAUUGAUGACUGGAAAGAAGAAUACAAUUCCAUCACUGCAAGACAACUUGUUUAUAAGGAAGAUGCAGACUUAACUAGUAGAAUACUUGCUGGGGGUUUGAAGGUGCAGCCAAUAUUACUCCAUUAUGUACUAUCUAGAAUAGUAAUUCCUCGUUACACAAAUAUCGAUCAGGCAUCCCACGAGGAUAUUAUGUUCUUAUGGGCCCUUUUCAAUUCGAAGCAAAUUAACUGGGGACAUGUCAUCCACAAUAGGAUGAAAAGGGCUUUAUCGUACAAUGCAAGGCUGACUUAUCCUCAUUUGGUAACUAUAUUCUUGGAACACUUUCAUGUGCCUCUUAAUUUUGAUCCUAUUACAGAAAUAAUGGACAAACAAAAGGUAUGAUCUGACAAAAUAACCUCCUUUGGUUAUGUGCAAAAUGUAGACGGAGUGUGGGUUCCCAAAGACGACACACCCAACCAAUAGAGUCAAGGCGAAGAAGUGUAGCAUAAUGAUCAACCAAGUUCUUCUACAACACUAGAUGAUGUCAUACAACGCAUUGACCAACUCCAGACCUAUGUUGGUACAAAAUUGGACGACCUAGAAUCACGAAUUGGUAACAUUGAGAACCGACUGCAGCAGUCUCCCACUCCAUUUCAUCAUUUCACCUCAUAGUUAUAAAUUGGUGUUGACAUGUAUUUGCUUUCAUUUGGAACUUGUAUGCAUUACUAAAAUAUUGUAGUCUUUUUAUUACUUGCGUAUCGAAAUUUCAUAGUUUCAUGUUAAAGUUUGGUUGAAUGUUUCGUGUAUUAUAUUUCACAAAAUGUUAAGUAGUUAGAUAAUGGCGUAUUUAAUGGACAGUUAAACAGUUCAAAAUCACUUACAUACAACCAAUUACAUAUAAAGAAACUCAAUAAUGGUCAAUGAACACUGAUAUUCAACUAAAGGUCCCCACCUUACCACUGGUGGCUCCUUCAGUUCAACAGGUUGUCUAAAUUGUUGUUUAGACUCGCGUAAUUGUUUACAACAUGCUUGUAAAUGAUUACAAGGCAUAUUUUGACAGCAGACAUAGCAGAACUUCACUUGACUCAAGAUUCUCAACAUGGGUGGUCCCCCUACAUCUUGGGGGACCCAGAACAUUAGGUUCAAGCCUCUCUUCACUCAAGAACCUCAAUUUACAACUAAAACCACUGGACUUGGGUCAAAACUCACUGAUAUUCAACUGCGGUCCCCCACGUUACCACUGGUGGCUCCUUCAGUUCAACAGGUUGUCCAAAUUGUUGUUCAGACUCGCGUAAUGUAAACGAUUAUAAGGCACAUUUUGAAAGUAGAGGUAGCAGAACUUCAGUUGUGGUCCCCCACGUUACCACUGGUGGCUCUUUCAGUAUAACAUGUUGUCCAUAAUCUAAGUUAGACUCGCGCAAUCGUUUGCAGGCCAUACAAUUUAGCACCAUUAUUUUCACCAAUUCAGCUAAAUUCAUCAAAUCACAUUUUCUCACAAACAUUAUCGCUUGUAAAUCAAAAUAUAAAGCACUUCAAUAAUAGACACAAUAAAUUUGCAAUUAUCAAUUACAUAAAUAGAUGGAACCAAACAUGCAUGUUAUAUACAUUGAACGAAAUAGGUUUAAUUACAACGUCCUUUUCAUGUCCUAUAGAUUGAACGAAAUAGGUGUAAUUACUCCUUUCUCUUUCUAACUACUACAUUUGCGGUGUAUGGUGUCCUAAGUUCUUGGCUCUUAUUAUGUCUUCUUGAUCCAAUUCUAACAUACGUCUUCAACUGUGAUUGGUUGUUGGACAUUCCACCCGGUGCAUUUGGCAACAUUCCACUCGCUUCGUCGUUCGACAUUCCACCCGCUUCUUCGUUCGACAUUCCACUAGGGGAAACAAAUGCUCUGUUACUGUUAGUGAAUGCUUGUGGACGUCCAACACUUUGUACACUAUCAUCUGUACUUGUCCUUUUAGGUGUUCUUCUGGCCUUCUCUUCUGCCAACUCUGCCUCUACGACAUUGACCUUCCUUUUAAGCUCUUCAAUUAUAGAUUUAUGAUCCUCUACAGUACGCAUCAAACUCUCUCUGCGUGUUUUUUUAAGCAAUUUCUUUGUUGAUCGUUGCUCAUCAUUGCUUUUUGGUGGUGGCUGUUUUUCUUUCACAUCAUUCUCAUUUUUCAUUACAACACCAAAAUCAUCUACAACAUGAUCCUGAAAUUUAACAACAUAUAAUAUGUUAUAUAACUACUUUGAAUAUAUCAUAACAUUCACAACUAAAAAAAACCAAACACAUACCACACCCAUCUCGAAAACACAUUUGACGAUGUUGUCUCCAACAUUUGUAUUCAUCCAGUGCAAGAUCCUUGGAAAUUUCUCUAUUGCACCUUCGGGAGCCAUGAAAUGCUCACAAAAUCAAACCUAUAAAACAUGUCAGUUAUAAAUUACUCAUAAUCAAAUAACAAAUAUUCAAAAGUUUAGUUGUCAAAUGAGUAAAUAAGAACUACCUGCAACCUGUACAUACAACCAUCGACAUAAACAUUAGUUGUAGUUUUGCCUUUCUUCAAAGAAUCUGAAGUUUUGCUCAAACUUUCUAACAAAUAACGAAAUACUAAACUACCCCAACAUUACUUACUCAGACCACUUAAGUCAUCAACAAUUUCAAACAGUACAGGAAAUACUCGUCCACUACGAUUUGGAAAUAAAAUCUCACAUAUUCUUAGCAAUAUGUACAAGCUACAGAAAUGCUCACAAGGUAUGAUUUUUUUUUGUUUUUUCAACAAGAAUUUGUAAAUGAAAUUCAAAUCUUUAAUUUCGUUACCUAAGUAUCUCACACAUUUACACUACCCAUUAUAUCCUUUAAGUUUAUACUUUUGUCAUCUGAACUCAACCUUAAUCCUGAACAAAAAUCCUUUUCAUUCAUAUUGAAAACUUUGUCUGCAAUAACAAAAGCAUUGCUCGAAUCCACCCAUUUCAUCGUUAACUCUUGCAAAAUUUUAGUAUUCAAUAUCACUUUACCAUUCAAGUCUAAAAACCAAGCAAAUGGAGUCUUCGAAAUGAGUGACCUUUGCUCCUCUGUCAACUGUUCGUUUAGAGUGCAAACAUACAUAGUUGAAAAUGAAUGAUGAACGGUCAAUUGCCCAAAGAAAAUAACUCAAAUGAAAACAGCAAAUGAAAUAACCAAAAAACCAAAAGGGGUCGAAGAAACGACAAGAAACCCAAUACCCAAAUAUAAAACCCAAUACACAAACGUAAAACCCAAUAUCCAAACGUAAAACCCAAUACCUAAACCUACAACAAAAUGGUCUGAGAAAGCAUUUACCUUGUUCCAACGAAGUUGCAGUCCGAAACUUCCCAUUUCAGCAAAACUGCGACAACGAGAGAACGAAUGUCAGAGAGAACAUAAGGGAGAGGGCGAAAACACCGGGAGAACGAAUGUUAGAGAUUACGUAAGGGAGAGGACGAAAACGCCAGGAGAACGAAAUCUGAGAGACAAAACGUAACGAACGGUUGACAGAGGAGUAACGGUCACCCAUUUCGAAGACUCCAUUUGCUUGGUUUUUAGACUUGAGUGGUAAAGUGAUAUUGAAUACUAAAAUUUUGCAGGAGUUAACGAUGAAAUAGGUGGAUUCGAGCAAUGCUUUUGUUAUUGCAAACAAAGUUUUCAAUAUGAAUGAAAAAGAUUUUUGUUCAGGAUUAAGGUUGAGUUCAGAUGACAAAAGUAUAAACUUAAAGGAUACAAUGGGUAGUAGUAAAUGUGUGAGAUACUUAGGUAAGAAAAUUAAAGAUUUGAAUAUCAUUUACAAAUUCUUGUUGAAAAAACAUAAAAAUACCAUACCUUGUGAGCAUUUCUGUAGCUUGUACAUAUUGGUGGGGAUAUGUCAGAUUUUAUUUCCAAAUCGUAGUGGACGAGUGUUUGCUGUACUGUUUGAAAUUGUUGAUGACCUAAGUGGUCUGAGUAAGUACUGUUGGGGUAGUUUAAUGUUUCGUUAUUUGUUAGAAAGUUUGAGCAAAGCUUCAGAUUCUUUGAAGAAAGGCACAGCUACAACCAAUGUUUAUGUCGAUGGUCGUGUGUACAUGUUGCAGGUAGUUCUUAUUUACUCAUUUGACAACUAAACUUUUGAAUAUUUGUUAUUUCAUUAUGAGUAAUUUAUAAUAAUGACGUGUUUUAUAGAUUUGGUUUUGUGAGCAUUUCAUGGCUCCCAGAGGUGCAAUAAAGAAAUUUCCUAGGAUCUUGCAUUAGAUGAAUACAAAUGUUGGAGACAACAUCGUCAAACGUGUUUUCGAGAUGGGUGUAGUAUGUGUUUGGUUUUUUUAGUUGUGAAUGUUAUGAUAUAUUCAAAGUAGUUAUAUAAGAUAUUAUAUAUUGUUAAAUUUCAUGAUCAUGUUGUAGAUGAUUUUUGUGCUAUAAUGAAGGAUGGGAAUGAUGUGAAAGAAAAACAACCACCACCAAAAAGCAAUGAUUAGCAACGAUUAACAAAGAAAUUGCUUAAAAAAACACGCAAUGAGAGUUUGAUGUGUACUGUAGAGGAUCAAAAAUCUAUAAUUGAAGAGCUUAAAAGGAAGGUCAAUGUCGUAGAGGUAGAGUUGGCGGAAGAGAAGGCUAGAAGAACACCUAAAAGGACAAGUACAGAUGACGGUGUACAAAGUGUUGAACGUCCACAAGCAUUCACUAACACUAACAGUGCAUUUGUUUCCCCUGGUGGAAUGUGGAACAAAGAAGCGGGUGGAAUGUCAAACGACGAAGCGGGUGUAAUGUCCAACACUAAAAAGGUGGAAUGUCGUCAAAUGCACCGGGUGGAAUGUCCAACAACCAAUCAUAAUUGAAGACCUGUGUUAGGAUUGGAUCAAGAAGGCGUAAUAAGAGCCAAACACUUAGGAUACCAUACACCGCAAAUGUAGUACUUAGAAAGAGAAGGAGUAAUUAAACUUAUUUCGUUCAAUCUAUAGGACAUGAACAGGACACUGUAAUUAAACCAAUUUUGUUCAAUGUAUAAAACAUACAUGUUUAGUUCCAUCUAUUUAUGUAAUUGAUAAUUGUAAAUUUAUUGUGUCUGUUAUUGAAGUGCUUUAUAUUUUGAUUUGCAAGAGAUAAUGUUUGUGAGAAAAAAAUGAAGUAAUUAAUGCAUGUGAUUUGAUGAAUUUAGCUGAAUUGGUGAAGAUAAUGGUGCUAAAUUGUGCAUUGUAAUAAUUUACUAUGGCCUUGUAAACGAUUACGCGAGUCUAACUUAGAUUAUGGACAACCUGUUUUACUGAAGGAGCCAUCAGUUAAAACAUAGGGGACCACAACUGAACCUCUACUGUCAAAAUGUGCCUUGUAAUCGUUUACAAGCAGGCUGUAAACGAUUACGCGAGUCUGAACAACAAUUUGGACAACCUCUUGAACUGAAGGAGUCACCAGUGGUAGCGUGGGGGACCACAGUUGAAUAUCAGUGGGUUUUGACCCAAGUCCAGUAGUUUUAGUUGUAAAUUGAGGUUCUUGAGUGAGGCUGGCUUUAACCUAAUGUUCUGGGUCUCCCAUGAUGUAGGGGGACCACCCAUGUUGAGAAUCUUGAGUCAAGUGAAGGUCUGCUAUGAUUGCUGUCAAAAUAUGCCUUGUAAUCCUUUACAAGUGUGUUGUAAACGAUUAUGCGAGUCUGAACAACAUUUUGGACAACCUGUUGAACUGAAGGAGCCCUCAGUGGUAACGUGGGGACCACAGUUGAAUACCAGUGAGUUUUGACCCAAGUCUAGUGGUUUUAGUUGUAAAAUGAGGAGGUUCUUGAGUGAGGAGAGGCUUGAACCUAAUGUUCUGGGCCCCCAAGAUGUAGGGGGACCACCCAUGUUGAGAAUCUUGAGUCAAGUGAAGGUCUGCUAUGACUGCUGUCAAAAUGUGCCUUGUAAUCGUUUACAAGUGUGUUGUAAACAAUUACGCGAGUCUGAACAACAAUUUGGACAACCUAUUGAACUGGAGGAGCCCCAGUGUUAACGUGAGGGAUCACAGUUGAAUAUCAGUGUUCAUUGACCAAAGUCCAGUGGUUUUAGUUUUAAAUUGAGGUUCUUGAGCGAGGAUAGGCUUGAACAUAAUGUUUUGGGCCCCCAUGAUGUAGGGGGAGACCACCCAUGUUGAGAAUCUUGAGUCAAGUGAACUUCUGCUAUCUCUGCUGUCAAAAUGUGCCUUGUAAUCGUUUACAAGCAGGCUGUAAACGAUUACGUGAGUCUGAACAAUAAUUUGGACAACCUGUUGAACUGAAGGAGCCACCAGUGAUAACGUAGGGGGAACACUUUCAUUGACCGUUAUGGAGUUUCUUUAUAUGUAACUGGUUGUAUAUAAGUGAUUUUGAACUAUUUAACUGUCCAUUAAAUACGCAAUUAUCUGACUACUUGACAUUUUGUGAAAUAUAAUACGCGAAACAUUCAACCAAAGUUUAACAUGAAACUAUGAAAUUCCGAUACGCAAUUGAGGUAAUAAAAAGACUACAAUAUUCCAGUAAUGCAUACAAGUUCCAAAUGAAAGCAAAUACAUGUCAACACCAAUUUAUAACUACGAGGUGAAAUGAUAAAAUGGGGUGAGAGACUGCUGCAGUCGGUUCUCAAUGUUACCAACUCGUGAUUCUAGGCCGUCCAAUUUUGUGGUUUGGAGUUGGUCAAUGGGUUGUAUGACAUCAUCUAGUGUUGUAGAAGAACUUGGUUGAUCAUUAUGCUGCACUUCUCCGCCUUGACUCUAUUGGUUGGGUGUGUCGUCUUUGGGAACCCACACUCCGUCUACAUUUUGCACAUAACCAAAGGAGGCUAUUUCGUCAGAUCCCACCUUUUGUUUGUCCAUUAUUUCUGUAAUAGGACCAAAAUUAAGAUGCACAUGAAAGUGUUCCAAGAAUAUAGUUACCAAAUGAGGAUAAGGCAGCCUUGCAUUGUCCGAUAAAGCCCUUUUCAUUCUAUUACAGAUGACAUGUUCUUAGUUAAUUUGCUUCGAAUUGAAAAGGGCCUAUAAGAGCAUAAUAUCCUCGUGGGAUGCCUGAUCGAUAUUUGUGUAAUGAGGAAUUAAUAUUCUAGUUAGUACAUAAUGGAGUAAUCUUGGCUGCACCUUCAAACCCACAGCAAGUAUUCUACUAGGUAAGUCCGCAUCUUCCUUACAAACAAGUUGCCUUGCAGUGAUGAAAUUGUACUCUUCUUUCCAGUCAUCAACAAGACCCCAUUCAUAACGAACUCCGGUACAUGGGAGAGAAGUGAGUUGUUGAAAAAGAUUAGGGUUGACUCUGAUUUUAACUCCUUUGACUUCGCUUCGAAUAACUCCCGUAUCAAAAAUUUCAAUGUUGGUGUAGAAAACUCUAACUAAUUGUGGGUAAAAUGAUUUUCUCAAAGAAACAAAUUUGGUGAGUCCAGCGUCUCGUAAAAGGUCGUAGAACUCAAAAUUCCUUACUUCAAAAUAAUCCUCGUCGAGGUAUUUGCUUUCCAAUAUUCUUGAUUGGUAAAAUGCAUAGCAAAUUUUUUGUAUUGUGUAAGCGAAGAGAACAAUUUAUUUCUUGGUGGUGGAGGGGAUAUUGAUGGAGAUGGUGUUGGGGAUGGCGUUGGACUUCGACGACAACGUCCACCACGGGGAGAAACAAACUAUAUAUAAUACCAAAAGUUUAACUUACCUUUGGGUUUCCGAACGCCAUUGCAACUACACAUAUUUCAUACAAAUAAAUCAAUGGUGGAUUAGGGUUCACAAAACACAAAAAGAAUAAAUAAAACAACAAUAAAGUACGCCUCCAUAAGCCAAACAAUGCGAUAUAGAGCGAAAACCCGAAACAGAGGCACAAACCCAAAACACGCGAAACGCGAAAGAGAGCUUACCGAUACACAGUGAUUACGAAAGACCUUUUUUGCUAGGAUUUUAUGUUUCGAUGAGACAAUCAGUCGAUGUGGAGAGUGGGUAUUGUAGAGAUGAAGCGAAUGGAGAAAGGAGACGAAAGUGAAGAAGAAGAAAAAUGAAACUGUCAAAAUCAAAUAUCAUAAAAUAAGAAUUUCAAAAUUACCCUCCUCAGCUUUUUUGAAAGGGUUUUUUAAUUAAGUGAAGAAAUCCAAUACAAAUUUGACACGUGUCAAAAAUCAGUGUCAAAAAAACAUUUUCGAUUAAUUAAAGCACACAACUUGACCAAAACAUGUUAGGUAUAUCCUAUUAAUUAUAGUACAACAACACCAAAAUAGGAUUUAAUUAAAGUGAGAUGGGUUGUACUAUUAGAGAAACCUACACCUGUAAUGCACCAAAUCCAGCUAUACAUUGGUUGCACUAAAAGAAGCUGAGACCACAAAAAAUUGUCGUCAUUUGCCUUAGGAUUCCUCUACCCACAACAACUAAGUGAUUCUUUAAUUUCUCCAUUUAAAAACAUCACUACAAAACUGUUGCAUAACCAGCUGUGUAUAACUUUGUGGUAACUUUUCUGAUUAUAUUAUCAUAUGUCCGAUUCAAACUACUAACUAUUUAACUAUGUACGACAUCACACAUAGAUUUGUUUCAUUAAUAUUAUCUAAUUUACUAAAAGGGACACUAUUAUUGACAAUACAAUUUGUAGGAAAAUAAAAUACUUCAAAUGCUAACAAAAUGUACAACCUACCCAUAAUCUCAACAUUUUUUUUUUCUUUGAAAUUUUUUGAAUCAACUUUUCCAUUAUAGUAAUAAAUGUUAUGUCUUGUAAGUCGUCCCUAAAUAAGUUAUUCACAAUCCCACCAAUAUCAUUUUCCAAAUCAAUACUUUGACCAACAUUGCGUAAACCUGAAAAAAAAAGCAAACAUCCUCAACUAUAAAAGAGACUAAAUUCUGCUUAAUCUUAAAAGCCUUAUGAACAAUAUCUUACGAAUUAACUCUACAAGAACGAGGCUAGAAAUAACCACAUGGUCAACCAUAUUGGCUAACCAUUUGAAAGGUGUCACCUUCAACCAUUCCUUUUGAAAUGAUGAUAGACAACCAUUUAAUUGAAGUAUAUGUUAGGUUUAGACUCGGUGCCUAACUAUAAAUGUACUCUACAACUGUAAAUCAAAGUAUAGGUUUGUAAAUUGAAUACAACAAUCAACCUAUUCAAUAUUAAAUUCAAACACUAACUCCAUACUUAGCAUUUUACUUUGUUCUUUGUCCAUUUUUGUAUAUCCUACACAUAUCAAAACAAAUAUAAUUACCUCAGUUCGUUCAAAAGUUGAUUUAUUUUUUUCCUUUUUUCUUUAAUUACAACUUAAUGAAGAAAUCAAGGAAAAAGACUUCUUUCAGCAAUAUGAAACAAAUUUAUGUGUUCAAUAACCCACAAUUGUAAAUGAAAUCAUAAUAGUUAAAAACCUUUCAAAAAUAACAAUAUUUAAUUUCUAAGAAAUUAAAAAUUAAAUUUUAAAACAUAACUACAAAACUGUUGCAUAACCUGCUAUGUGUAUAACUUUGUGAUAACUUUUCCGAUUAUAUUUAUUAGAUGUCCGAUUCAAACUACUAAAUAUUUAACUAUGUACGACAUCACACUAGUUGUAUAGAUUUGGUUCAUUAAUAUUAUCUAAUUUACUAAAAGGGACACUAUUAUUGACAAUACAAUUCCUAGGAAAAUAAAAUACUCCAAAUGCGAACAAAAUGUACAACCUAUCCAUAAUCUCAACAUUUUUUUUUUGCUUUGAAAUUUUUUGAGUCAACUUUUCCAUUAUAUUAAUAACUGUUAUGUCUUGUAAGUCGUCCCUAAAUAAGUUAUUCACAAUCCCACCAAUAUCAUUUUCCAAAUCGAUACUUUGACCAACAUUGCGUAAUUUGGUUAAAUGUAUUCUAAUUGUAAUUAUAUAAAGUAAUAAGGUCGUUGAAUUUGGACCUUACCAAGUAUCACAAUUAUCCGAAGUGCCUCCUUCUGAGUUUGUCUUUGUUGUCAGUUAUACAUAACAAUUCAGAUAACAACCUUCUUUAAUGUAUAUAACUUCCAUCUUCUAUGUAUAUUAUAUGUACGUUAGUCUGACAUUGAUGUGUUAUUGUUGUCUAAAUCAAUAAAUGAAAUUUAAGAUAAUCCAUUGCUUGUUGAACACUAUGAAAAAAACCCUUUCAUGUACUGUUACUGAAAAUGUUUGCUUUACAUUAAUUACACAAGCUAUUGUUUGAAUAUGAAUGAUUGGGCAAAAAAGCCAUAUGGUAAUCGAUUACGAAUAAGCUGUAGUCAAUUACUCUGGGUGGUUCGUCCAUAUAAAAACAGGUUUAACAUGCCCAUUAUUGAAACCCUAACUUUUUUCGCCAAAAGUCUAUACGUGAUGGUUCUUUUUCUCCCCCACUUCCCUCAGUUGUGGUCUCCCUCUUAACUAUCCAAUCUUGAAGUUCUUGAAGUACCCUUCCAACGUUAUUGUACCUCACAAAACCCUAAGAAAUCUGCAAUGACUUAUUGCGCAACCAAGAAACAAUGACAUUUUCCCGUCAGAUGACCAAUAUGAGAAGUUUGCUAACCAUUAUUUCAAUCGUGCAAUCAUGGAAAGCAAAUAUCUCGAGGACUGGAGAAUGUCUGAAAUAACAUAAAUCUAUAAAUUGGCAAAACAUGAAGUUGUUCUAAGAUUUUGUGAUCUAACAUUUUCGCAUUCUGUUUCAGAUUGAUAUCUCUGGUUUAUAGAGCUCCAAGAAUCCUCCAAAAAGACCAUGGUGAUUGUUCUUGAAAGAGAUUCAAAGGGAGAAUUGUUGUGCGCUUAUUGCUUGAUCAUUGUCUGCACAUUGAAGGUGUUUCUGGUUGAUCAAGAAUCUGUUUGGCAUUCGUGGUGUUGUUGUGUACCUGUUGUGAUACAGGGGAUAGACUUGUGGAGUCUGGUUCACUUUGAGGACUGUUCAAAGUGGUGUUGCAGAUUGCAGAAGAGGGGAUAUUUUGCUGCAAGUCUUGCUUUAUUGUUGUAGCUAUAUUUUGGUUAGAGGGUUAGAGGGUUAGAAAGGAGAUUUAUAUUUUUGACGUGGAGGUCUUCUAUAAAUUCCUUGUUGUAAAAACCUUGACUAUUGUAGUGCAUUUUCUUCCUGGGUUGGAAGAACACUGGAUGUAGGCAUUGUUGGCCAAACCAGUAUAAAAAUCAGUCGACACUGGAUGUAGGCAUUGUUGGCCGAACCAGUAUAUCCUGAGUAGUCAACUACAAUAUUUCGCUGCACACUUAUUUCAUUACUUGCGUUUCAAGAAAGACCUGUAAAGUUUUCAACUUGUUUCAAAGAUUUUAAAAAGACUCUGAUUUUGAAAACUCAUCAAUUCACCCCGCUCUUGGUGUAAAACGAAACCUACCUGUUUUUCAACAUUGUGUUCCUUUGCCUAUGUAUUUCACACAUGUACUCCCUCUCAUUUCCUCCUUUAAGUUAAUAUUUUAAUCAUUUGAACUCAAUCUCAAUCCUAAACAAAAAUUCUUUUCAUUCAAUUUCACAACUUUAUAUCCAAAAUUAAACCCACCACUGGAAUUGAUCCAUUUAACCAAUAGCUCACUCAAAAUAUUCCUAUCCAGUUUAACCUUAGCACUCAAAUCUAAAACCACCCCAUUAACGUCUUUGAAAUAAAUGACAUGUGCUCCUUUGUCAAUCUUUCAUUCAAAAUACAAAUAUACUUUGUUAAAAAAAUGACGAACACACAACUGUCAAUCAACGAAAGAAAAAUAAGAAAAGGGUCCAAAAACGAAAACAAAAAUUUGAACACAACAACGAAAACUAAAAUACAAAUCGAAAACGCAAUCAACAAAAUGGAUAAGCCCAUUUAUCUUGGUUGAAGAACCAUAGUCACCGAACAUUGCCAUUAUGCACACGCUAUCAACAAAAAAAUGGACCUCGAGCAAAGCUUCUUGGACGAAAAUGGAAGGAGAAAGAAAAUUAAAGAGAAUGGGAGAACAAAAUCUGAAGAGAGAGAACGAGGAGAAGAGAUGAAACAGGGCAAGGGAUAUUUUUGGAAGCAAAAAUUUCUAAAGCGAAAACCCUUUUCCACGUCACAAUUUAACAUUAAAAUUUAAUUAUAAACACAUAAAUCAUGUGCCGCCAUGUGGAGUUGUCAAAAAGUUGGCAAUGGAGUGUUGUGAAGGGAUCCUAAUCUUUAUCCCUACAAAACAUGGUGAAUUCCGUACUGAAGCGUCCUGCCAAUGGCAAUGUGUGGUUCCACCUUUCGGUCCAUCUUUUGAAGUAUUCUGUUGUGCAUCACUAAAUCUUUUGAAUAUUUUCUUGGUGUGUUUAUUUUGUUCUUUCUUAUUUCUUUUCACCAUGGCUGAAAUGACUUCUGCCAAACCUUCAACACUCCCUCAUCCAUUCUUGGUUUCUCCAAUCUUUAACAAGAACCAUUACCGUUCAUGGUGCAGAUCCAUGUCGAUAGCAUUGAGUGCCAAAAAUAAGAUUCAAUUGGUAAGUGGGACUACCCUAAACUAGAAAAGAAAUAUGCUUUAUAUCAAUCUUGGAAGCAUUGCAAUGAUAUGAUCGUCUUUUGGAUUGUUCAUCCUUCGAUUUGACAAAGUAUAAUGUGGAUGGAUAAUGCAUAAUCUGAAAUUAUUUGAAUUUGAGAUAUUUUCAAGAUCAUUUAAUUUGCAUCUCUGACUUACAAUAAGAAGCAUCUCCCGUUAAGCAAGGUGAAUUCACUCAUUAUAUGUGAGUUCUUCACUAAAUUGUGUUCUAUAGACAACUUCACACCUGAUCAUGUUUGUUUGUGUAAUAAGAAAUAAAAUUUAAAACGCAUUUACAAAUUCAUAAAUAUUAAAAUAUAAAUAAGAGUUGAGUCGAAUAUUCAUCAAGUUUCAAUCUAUUAUCCUCACCCAAUGCAAUUAUCCAUUUUAUUACUCAAUUUUAUUUAUUCAAAAUUACACAUUUAUCUAAUUCAAUCAAAUCGUAUGCUCGGCUUUAUUGAGUUUACAUUGGAUACAGUUUUCUUUUCGGCAGUAGGAGUCGAGAGAGAGCCUUUAUUUCAAGGUUGAUUAACUUUUAUGAUUUUUGUAUAAUAAUGAUCAUUAAAAAUUACAACUACGCUUAAAAAACAAACAAAAUAGAGUAAAUUAAAUUGUAUUUUGAAAUUUUCUAAGAUGAUGUUAACAUUUUUUGUUUCUCCGACAUGUAUAAUGACUUUUCUUGUCAUUAUAUAGAUAAUGUUUUGUUUCAGUUGAAAGAGUCCGAGAGUCAAUCAUUCUCCUUGAGUCAUCCGAUUUGAUUGUAAUGGACGGUUGAAAUUGGAAUCUGGAAACCACAUUUUCAGGUUAUAAAUAGGGGAUGGGAUCAUUGUCAUUAUCACACUUUUGUCUCCUUUCUUCCUCAACCAAUCCCAGAAGCCUUUUAUUUUCAGGUACUAUGUUUUCUUUCACAUGGUCGAUCGAUGAGCCUGCGGUGAUGGUCAAGGGUAUGCUAACGCUGUGGCAGAGUCGUCUUUGUCAGUGGGAUCCUCCGUCUUGGGCUCCACUGGUGAGGGUAAUCAGUCAGUGGUUAGUGAGGAAGUUGUGGAGGAGGGAGAGGCAGAAAUAAAGGUCGACGCUACUGGAGAAUGGGCUAAUGUUGCUCCCCAUGAGAUAGGCCUAUAUGCACCUUUUUACAUUACUAGUGCCUCAUUGGAGUAUCUGGUAAGCCAAGUGGGUAUAUUGGCCAGCACGAGAGAUGCCGAGAGCGUAGAGAUUUUGGUUAAAUUGGUAGGUUAUGUGGUACUUGGUUUUGUUGGUUAUGUUCAUCUUUAACCCUACAAACGUGGUGAAUCCAACAAUAUAGUGAUAAUCAAUUAAUUAAUGAGAAAUCUUUAGUUCAUACUAAUAAGGGUUUUUUAGUUAAUAUUGAUCAAAGUUAUUUUCAAGUAAAAUGUAAUUAUUAUAUAUGAUAGAUAUUGAUCAUUCUUUUCCUUUAAAAAAUGUUUCCCGAUUGUAUAUAUCUUAAAAGUGACUUCUAUUGUGUAUAGGGGUGGCAAAAAAAUUCGCGCCUGCGGAUAUCCGCAUAUAAAAUCUGCGAUAGAUAGUUGAUACCCCGGAUAUUUACUAUCUGAAACCCGCGGAUAACGGGUAUUUUAAUAUCCUCUUAUAAACGGGUCGGAUGCGGGUAUUAUACUAUCUAUACCCGCGGAUAUCCGCUAUUUGCAAAAAAUAAAAGUAGAAAUUUAAUUUUUAUUUAAUUAAGUUAAAUCUAACUAAAAUUAGCAUUAAUUUAUAUUUUAGAAGGUUAAAUUUAAUUAUAAUUGUACUAUAUGAAGUAUACUGAUCGGAAUUAAUUGUCAUUUAUGGACAAUUAACAAGUAUUAAUAAGUCAAAUUGCCUUAUAUAGUAUUGAUUAUUGAUUAUUGGGUUUAAUUGCCUAAAAAUAUACUGCACAAUCAAUGGGUUUGUGUGCCACAAGGCUCUACAAAUAUACAAUUGAUGUUUAGGUACAAUCUUUCUUUUCUAUCCUAAUAAAAUUUAGACCUUUUUAUAUCUUGAGCAUCGGCUACACACAACCCAUCGGAUUGGAUUACAUUCUCAGGAAAAAUUGAAGUUCAAAAGAGAAUAAAGCAAAGAAGGACAACUGACCUUCGGACCAAUUCAACCGAAACAAAAAUUAAAUUUUAAUUAUAUUUUAUAUAUUUUUUUUCUAAUUGUAUUUAAAUUUUAUUUUAAUACUUUAUAAAAAUAUGUUUUUUUAAAUAUUUGCGGGUAUCCACGGAUAUCCGCAGUUUUUAAAAUAUCCACAAAUAUUUUUUAAGCGGGUAUCCGUGCGAGUAGCAGGUGAAUUUUUUUUUAUCGGAUCGGGUUGCAGGUAGGCACUAUCCGUGCCCAACCCGACCCGUUGUCAUCCCUAAUUGUGUAUUUUGAAAGUAACUUUCAAAUUGUUUAACUCAAAAGCUAUUAUUUUCAAAUAAAAAUUAUUUUUGAAUUACAUAUUUUGAAAGGUUUAAUAUCUAUUUUGGUCUCUUGGUUAUGUCAAAGUAUUUAAAGCGAUCUUAUCUUUUUUCAGAUGUUCACAGUUGUCUCAUAUUUUUGUAAAAACGCUAACUGUGUAAUUGUUCCUGGGAAAAAAUUGAAUGUAGUUAUUGAUUGUGUCAUACGAUUGGGAUGUAAAUUUUAAAAAUAAAAAUUAAUGACGUGGAAGAGUUAAAGUUAAGGUUAAAAAAAAUUACAAUUAGGUUAGAAGUAAUUCACCAUCAAAACUUUAUUUCACAAACAGAACUCAAGGAAUCCUAAAACAAAAUAUGACAGAUUCCAAAAACCCUAAAAGUGAGAGAUCAUAAUACAAUUACAGAUAAUUCCAAAACAUGAAAUCAGAAAACAAAACUCUAAUUCAAAAACCUUAACCCCAAAUUGUAUUAACAAUUUGCAAAGGAGAAGCUAAAGAUAAAAUAUUCCCGUAUCAAAACCCUCAACCUCAAACAAAAACCCUAAUAUCUCUAAAUCAUAAAAUCACGAAGAAGAUCAACCAUUGUGCCAUUAACCAUUACGUAAACAAGUUUGGGGCAAACUACACAUAUGAGAGAGAGAUUGAAGCAAUGAGAGUUGUGGAAUGUAAAUGCUUCUAAGAAUUCAUUCUUGGAACUUGAAAUUGUACAUGCAUUCUGUCUGAGUUAAAAAAUAGCAUUCAAGUUGUUUGUGAGCAUUGCAUGUAUCUUCCAUUUCGUAUUACUUUGGUUUCCAUCUAUUCAGUAUAUUAAAACAAAUAUUAUGCUUAGAACUCAUGUCAACUGUUGUUGAACCAAAUUUUCUAACAUCUCACAUUAUUUUUUUUUUUUAUAGAUGAAAAUUUGUAUGCUUUAUUUAUUUUUCAUUAUAGUUCAAUUUAACCCUAUAUUGUAUCGUCAUCACUAAAAAAUAGUUUUUAUAGUUAAAACGUAAAAUAAAUAUAUCAACAUAUUUACAAUUUAAAAUUGGACAAAAUUACAUUAAAAAAAUAUAUAAAGACUAAAAUAACUAGAACGUAAUCAUAUAGUUUUAAAAAAUAAUUUUCGUAUAAUUACUUGCAAAAAUAUUAAUAGAAAAAAUUAUACUUACAAAUUUAAUUUUGCAAGAAAAAUUAGUUGAGAAUUAAUUGGCUAGAAAUUACUUGCGAACUGAAAAUAAGUAAUAAAAUUACUUUUGAAAUUUAAAUUUGUUGGAAAAAAAUACCUGUUGAUUUUUAAAUUAACUUUUUCGCAAGAAAAAUUGUUAUGAUCUUUUUGUCAUGAAAAUUUGUGACUGAUUUCUUUAUUGAAAAUUUUGCAAGAAAUUUCCGGCGAAAUUUUUAAAUUAUAUGGUAACUAAUUACACACGAAAGAAUUACCUACCAAUAAAAAAUUAUAGGUAAAAUUGCAAGAAACACUGUUUGGAAACUUUUGAAAGAAAUUUGCAGAACAUUUUCAUCAAAUAUAAAAAAUUUUAGUAGUGUUUACUCUUAAAAGUCCUACAGUGUAUUUCAAUCUUCUAAUAUAUGGACGAUGGAGGAUGAAAUCAAAGAUAUAAAUAGAAGAUAGGAAAAAAGAUUUAGAAAAGGCUACAUAAAAACUACACUUCUUAUAAAAUGAAAUUCGGUUAAUUGUAAAUUGACUUUUGGUAAUAAAUAAUCGAGUAUGAUCACUGUUAGUUUUAGUUAUUUUUUACUUCUUUACAUAUUCUACAUUAUAUUAAUUAACAUUUUUAACUAAAUUUUUCAUUCAAUACGAGAAGAACUUAGGAAGAACAUUUACAAUGAUAAGGUCAAAAAUUAAAACAUAUCUCUUUACAUCUUAUAAUGUUUCAUUAAAGAGGAAACUUAAAAGAAAAUAAAGAUUAUAAACAUAAUAGAACUAUAAUUUAGGAAAUUAAAUAAAUAGUAAUUUUAUUUUAAUUUUACAUAAUUUUAUAAAUUUGUUGGGUGAGUCACUUUGUAUUCGUUGGAUGAGCAAACCUUGCUAGACAAAAGUUUGCCUUUGUAAUUUUUGUUUUCUAUUGUUUUUAUUUGUUUUGGGCUUUAUUUUAAUGUUUGUGUUUUCUUAAAUUUAUGUACUUAUAUAUAGAGAUAAUAAAACUGAUGUAAAUACUUGAGUCAUAUUAUAUGUAUUUUUUGAGAGAAGAUUCUCUUGGUUCUUGGAUUAGAACUUUGAUCCUUAUUAAAAUUUAACAUAUUUGUGGCAAAUCUUCACUUAACUUAUCAAUAUGUUAGAUUAUGACGUCCUACAUCUCUAUCUUAUUUUGCAUACUCUCAUUUAUUUUUAUUGUGCCUCUUGAGAAUUUAAAUUUAGAAGCAAUCAUACUCUUUUCUGCAAAGGAUCAUAGCAUCUAAUACUUAAAGUAAUGUUUUGGAUGUCCUCUUUUAUCUUAUUUUUCUGUCAUAUGAAAAAAAAAACAUAAAAAAAACAUAAAAUUCUUGAAUGUUUGGUUCAUUGUUCUUGGAAUUUUAUAAGGAGUAAAACCUUUAAUAUUUUAUCCAAUUUCGUUGAGUUUUCAAUAUUUUGUGUUCAUCAUUUAAAUUUUGCAUUUCUACAAUUGAUUCAUAGAAAUUAUUUGUUGUGUUUUUCUAUUAAUUGUUAUCCUAAUUAACUACCUAUCUUGCAUGAGUUUUGGUGUUUGAGAGAAAAUUUGUUUAUUUUUUUUUGUUUGUGUGUUGAAUUAUAAAAUUGAAAAACAUAAGAGAAAAGUAGAGAAAAAAAGUUGUGGAGUUCAACACAAUUAUUAUGUUGCACUAUUGCUUAUGAUUGAUAAUUUAUUAAAUUAUAUUAAAUCUUUUUUAUUCUCUAUGUUGUCUCAUUUAAUUCUUUUUGGUAGUCCUAUUAGUUUUUAUUUUUAUUAUUUUAUGUCUUUUACAAUUUCAUGAAGUUUUAUCUAAAGUUUUUUUUUUUGACCUCUUGAGUCAAUAUUUAGAUCUCACAAUAUUUCUCACAUUAUUAAGUGGUAGAAAGAAACAAAGUACAUCUAAGAAAAAGUCAAUAAGUGAGAUAUACGAGUGAAAUUUGAAUGAAACACUUAGAUAAACAGUGAAGAUCUAGAUAUAUUAUAUUAUUUUGUUAUCCUAACCUUUUACACGACUUAUCAAUAUUGAACAAUGCAACAUAUUCAAGUAGAGACAUCCUUUUGGAAGUUAUGUGUUCUUGAGGUCAUGGUAGAGAAUGUUAAUGCCUUGGAGUUUAGAAUUGAAAAAUUGAAUGACAAGAUUUCUAGUAUUAAAAGGAAGCAUAAGCAUGAUAAAAAUAUUUUCGAAAGGGUAUGAGCAUGAUACUCAUUAGUGUCCUAAUUGGAAUGCAAGUUCCAUAACUAAUUAAUACAUCAAGAACUACAUUCUAUAUUUGAAAAAGGAAGAAAAAAAGGACUUUGCAAAAAUUAGAUGCAUUAAAAAGAAGAGAAAAGAGAAAGUUUAAAAUAGCACAAGAGAAAGAAACACUUAUAGAAAUGGAAGAAAGAGAAAAUAGAGGAAAAGAAGAGAAAGAAAAGAGAGAGGGUGAAGAAAGAGAAGAGAGAAAGAGAGGAAAAAGAAAAAGAAAGAGAGGAAGAGAAAGAAGAAAAAAAUAGAAAAGAGAGAAAAAGAUAGAAAAGAGAGAAAAAAACAGAAAAGAGAGAAAAAGAAGAGAACAUCCACUUUUGUCAUUCAAAGAAAUUCCUGACUGCCUUUUUUUUCUUUUGUUGAAUGGAGAAGAUUUGUUUAUUAAGAAAUCAUGGAAUCAUAUAUAGCUUGUUUGUCAAUUCAUUUAGAUAUUUAAAGUUAUUCUUUUAGUACGAAAACAAGCUUAGAACUAUAUGUACAUGAUGUUGUUUGACCAUUUCUAAACAACUUACGGAUAAUCAAAGUCAUACUUAAAUUUUGACGGUUUACUCAAGAAAUAUUUUUUUAAUUUUCUUUGAGCAUUGCAUCUUUAAUUUAAAAUUGUUUGAUGAUUUUUACAUGUGGAUAUUUAACCUUAGAGGCAAACCUCCAAACCUUUUAUAAUAAGAUAUUGACCUCUUAUAGAAUCCAAAUAUCAUUUUAGUAGUAUUUCUAUAUUUGAUUAUUUUAGAUUUGUGUCUUUAAUUUAUGUUUAUGCAUAAGAUCUUCUGGAAUUAAGGUCGAAUUCUCUUCAAACAUGGAGAAUGAUAAGGAAUCUUCAAGUGAUACAAAAUUGAGGACAAAUUCUUUUCAAGAAGAAAGGUAUGAUAGAAGACUAUCUCCUGAACAUAUAUGUGAGAAAAACUUAAGGAAAAACAUAUGUAAUUCAAAUGAUAUAAGACAAGAUCAAAGAUCAAAACAUAUCUUUUUAAAACUUAUAAUGUUCCAUGAAGAAUAAAACUUAAAAGAGCAUGAAAAUGUAAUUUAGGAAAUUAAAUGCAUUGUAAUUUUAUUUUAAUUUUAUUAAAGAUUAAAUUCGUUGAGUGAGCUAGUUUGAGUUUAGUAGAGUGAGGGGGUUGUUAGGAGAAAUUAUGUAUAUGUUUAUAACUUUUGUUUUCUGUUAUUAGAGUUUGUAGGUUUUUUUAAACUCGUGUUUACCAGAACUUGAUGUAAAGAUUUUUUUGUAUUUUAACUUUAAAAUGUAUUUGCAUUCGGAAAGAGAAUUAUCUUGAUUUUUAGAUUAUAACUCUAAUUUAUACAAAAAAUUGAUAUAUUUAUGAAAAAUAUUCACUUAAUUUAUCAAUAUUAGAUUAAUUGUAACGUUUUGUUUAUGAUAUAUUCUAUUUACUUUUUUUAUUUAUUUUUAUUGUACCUUUUGAUAAUUCAAAUUAAAAAAGAAUUAUACUUUUUCUAUAGAGGAAUAUAUCACUUUUUAAACUAAAUUUUCAUUCAAAUACAUUAUUUUAAUUUUUUUUUCGGUUUUGCUCCUCCCUCGCACAAUUCACAGGACAAAAUCUUAAAGAAAACUAUCAAACCUCUUUUAAUAGUUCGUCCAUAAACCAAAUUCUAUAUAGGUUACAUCGCAGGAAUUAUAAAAAAAAAAAGGUUAGAAAUUUACCAUCUGGCUCCAAUUUUGUCAUCAUUGUUUUAAAAAAAGCCAAUAAUAAUAUUUAAACGUAUACGAACGCUUGACUUUGACUUUCAGAAGCUGUAAAAUAUAGGGUGACGAAGAGACAGAGAGAAGAGACAAGAGAUAGGAGCCGAGAGAGAGCCUUCAUUUCAAGGCUCAUUAAUUUUUAUGAUUUUUUAAAUAAUAAUGAUGGUUAAAAAUUACAACUACUCUUAAAAAACAAAUGAAAUAGAGUAAUGACUUUUUUUGUCAUGAUAUAUACAGUCUUUUAAAUUUCAUAUAUAGUCAUGAAUUGAGACUGUAAUAUAAUUUAGAUUUAUAUUUGAAUUUCCAAUACUUCAGUCUAUCCUAAAAUAAUAUUAAAUUUAUAUGAAAUUAGUAUUAUUUGUGGAAAAAAUUUAUAUGAAAUUAACAUAACACUAUUUUCUACCAUAAACUAUCUUUCUCAUCUUUCAAUAAAUAAACGUCUUCACUUUCUUCAAUUAUCAUCGAUUAACAUUAUUAGACACAAAAGCAUCUAUUUAUUCUUUUAUUUAGGAAAAGCUUUUUAUCCAGAGAAGGUUUGUUUCCAUACCCAAACUAACGGACUAAUUACCAAUAUUCAAUUAAGAUCCUGCAAAAAAAAAAAAAAAGUAAUAAAUUUUACUCAAUUUAUAAAUUAGUAGCUUCAACUUAAUAUUAAUAAGGAUUUUUCUCAAAUUAAAGUUAUUUUCAACUCGUUUGAGAUGUAAUAAUUAUUAGUUGAUAAAACCUAACACGAGUGCAGUAGAGUCUUUUUAAGGAAGUUAGAUAAAGUUUCUUAUGUCGAUUAUGAAACUAAUAUAUAUGCAACAACAAAAAAAGUGUCAAUUUUUUAUGUCAGUAACAUAAAAAGUCCACAUUUUAUGCGAAUUGUGUUAUAACAGAAAUAGAAAAUGUGAUAUUAUCAACUAAUUAUUAUUAGUUGAUAAAAACUAACAUUAUUGCACUAGAGGCUUUUAUGCCUGUUAGAUAAAGUUUCAAUUUUUUAUGUCAGGUUUGAACCAAUAGAAAGUUCCCAUUUUAUGCUAAUUGUGUUAUAACAAAUCUAAAAAGUGUGAUUUUUCAUUUUCUUAUUUUUAUUCAGUUGCUCUUCGAUAUUUGUGAAUGAUUCACAGAUAUAGUUUCGAAAGAGUGGGAGAAAGGUGUCAUCAUUUUGUUGGGUGAGUGCUUGGGAAGAAGCCCCUACACGAAAAUGUUAGAGUAUUUUUUUAAUAAUAGACCGUGUUUUUUUGAAACAGUGUCUACUAAUAAAUAAUGCUUAUAAAAAAACACUUCCCCUCCCUGUUCUUUUAAAUUUUUUUUAUCAUUUAUUUAAUUUUUCGUUCAACAUCCUCAGAUCUCAUAAUUUCUUAAGAAAAAAGCAAUAACGAUGUGAAGUCUCAUUAACUCCUACACAAAUCAAAAAGUGUAAUAAAUAUGAGAGGCUCAAACAUAACAAAAGCUCUAAGCAAAAAAUUGUUUACAUAGAUCAUAAAAUAAUAGAAAGAAUAUGAAAAAGACAAAUGUCAGCUCAUACUUUAAUAUAUCAAUGAAAAGUUAUUAUCAGAAAUAUAUUCCAAAAUACAUCAAAAUAAACAAAACUUAGGGAAAAAAACAUAAAUGACAAGGCUAACAAAUAUAUAGCUUUCUAAUAUUUUAAGUCCCUAUUUUUAACAUGUCAAUAGUGGGACAUAGUUUUGUAGGUUGCACAAUUUCGUCAAAAAUGCAGUAACAGUUCGGAGUCUAGUAUGUAUCAUGACUUUAUUGUUGAACUCACUCCUACUUAGAACACGAUGCAUUUUUAUGAUACAAGCAUUAAAAUGAAAUAUAUAGAUUCAAAUCACUAUGAACAAUGACAUAGUUUCAUAAGAUCAUAUAGAAGCAUAACAUAUUAACUUAUAAUAAAUUUUUACUAAUGAGAUGAAAACAUCAAUCUUCUCUAACAUCAAUCUUCUCUAACUUCAAUGAUUUGAUUGCCAUAUAUUAUUGACAAUUGCAAUUAGAAAAAUACUAUAAUAAAGAAAUAUAAUAUAAAAUUAUUCAAUUAAAAUUUUACUACAAAUUAAUUAUAUAUGCAAUCAAGAUAACUUACAUCGAUUGACAUUGUCCCUCCAUAAUAGGUGAUAAUUUCCUUUAUGUAACGACAAAUGUAAUAUCCACAAUCAUUUUCGUUGGCUUGUUUUAGACAUUAGAAAACUAAAAGAAGAAAACAUCAACAUAUUUCCUAUGAACAACAUCAAUUGAUCUUAAAAUAAACAAUUGUAAUCUACAUCAAUUAGUAUCCACUUUGUUUCGGUUGAAUUGGUCCAAAGGUCGGUCUGCCUUCCUUGCUCUACUCUCUAUCAACCCUUCAAUCUUCUCUGAGAAUGCAAUCCUCUGAUGGGUGGUUGACCUGCAAAAGACACUCCAACCCUCAAGUCUGAUAUGUUUUAUAAAGAGGUCUAUAUUUUAUUAAAAUAGAUCAAAGUUAUUUUACCUGAACGUCAAUAGUAUAUUUAUAAGGCUUGUGAUAGGCANAUGUUUUAUAAAGAGGUCUAUAUUUUAUUAAAAUAGAUCAAAGUUAUUUUACCUGAACGUCAAUAGUAUAUUUAUAAGGCUUGUGAUAGGCAAACCCAUUGAUUAACCAUUAGUGUAGUAUAUCUUUAGGCAGUCAAACCCAAUAAUCAAUAUAGUAUAUAUGUAAAGUGUAAGACAAUCUAACUUAUUAAUACCUGUUAAUUGUCCAUAAAUGACAAUUAAUUUCGAUCGGUAUACUUCAUAUAGUACAUAAGCCCCACAAGCCCAAGCAAGCUCUUUAUUGAAAGAGGUGCGUAGGAAUUAUUAUGAGCUUUAAAAGAGGUUGCUAACGUUGUAUUUAGGGAGUCUAUUUUCGAUAUGCUUUAAGUCUUCAUUGCUCCCUGUACCGAGCGACAAACUCUAGGAGCUCUCUUUGGAACUAUUCCCUAGACUGAAUAGAAAAUGCUAAGAGUUUUCUUUGAAACUUUUUCUUGUGCAAGAGAUUUUCACUCCAAAAAAUAUACGUUUAAAUAAAAUAAAGUAAACGCUUCAAUAUUUUAUAAUGAAAAGGCAUUGGAACCUGACAAAGUUGAACCUGUUGAGUAGUUGACUGAUAGUUCCUUUUCGAAUUUCCUACGUUGAGCGGAGAUUUUUCAAGCCAUUUUUUUGACUUCCCCCGAGCAGCUUGAGGCAUGAGUCAUUUUUAUUAUUUCCUGCGUUGAGCGGGGAUUUCUGGAGCCAUUUUUCUGACUUCCCCCCGAGCGACUUGAGACAGAAAUCAUUUUUCUGACUUCUUACGUUGAGCGGAGAUUUCUGAAGCCAUUUUUCUGACUUCCCCCCAAGCGGCUUGAGGCAAAAGUCAUUUUUCUGACUUCCUACAUUGAGCGGGGAUUUCUGAAGCCAUUUUUUUGACUUCCCCCCGAGUGGCUUGAGGCAGGAGUCAUUUUUCUGACUUCUUGCAUUGAGCGGGGAUUUCUGAAGCCGUUCUUCUAACUUCCCCUCGAGCAGUGAACAAGUUAUAGAGGAUUGAAUCUUCCUGUGCAAAAUAUUUUUACUCACAGAUAUUAUAAUGAAAAGUGGAACCUGCCAAGGUUGAACGUAUGACUGAACCUUCCUGUGCAGGAUAUUUUUGCUAAUAGAAAUAUGAGUUAAACAAAUACAUUAUAAUUUAUAAAUUAUAAUGAAAAGUUGAACCUGCCAAGGUUGAACGUAGGACUGAAUCUUCCUGCGCAUGAUAUUUUUACUCACAAGAAUGUGCGCUAAAUAAAAUAGUUAAUAUUUUAUUUUAUAAUGAGGUAACAUUAGAACCUGAUAAGGUUGAACGUAGGUGUGAACCUUCCUAUGCAAGAUAUUUUUACUAACAAAAGUAUGAUUUGAACAAAUAUAUAUUAUAAUUUGUAAAUUAUAAUGAAAAUUGGAAUCUUCCAAGGUUGAACGUAAGACUGGAGCUUCCUGUGCAAGAUAUUUUUUCUCACAAAAAUAUGAGUGGAACCUAUCAAGGUUGAACGUAGGACUGAACAUUUUCUGUGAAAGAUAAUUUUACUCAUAAAAAUAUGAGUUAGACAAAAUAAAGGACAUCCUUCAAUAUAAUAUAAUUUAUAAAUUAUAAUAAAAAGUUGAACCUAAUAAGGUUGAACGUAAUCUGAACCUUCCUGAAAGUUCUCAAAACAAAAGACAUGAAUUUAGAAUAUAUUACGAAGUUUUUUACUCUUGUUGCAAAACCUGGUGUUGAUCCGAAGUAGCGAUGUCGAGACCCAGCACACGUCUGAUUCUUUGUGGCUUCAUGGGGAUGCCACUCGGCCCCACGGUGGGCACCAUUAUGUUUUGGUUGAAUUGGUUUGAGGGUUGGUCGGCCUUCCUUGCUCUACUCUCUUUCGACUUUUCAAUCUUCUCUGAGAACGCAAUCCUCCGAUUGGUGGUUGACCUGCAAAAGACACUCUGACGCUCGAGUCAGAUAUGUUUUAUAAAGAGGUCUAUAUUUUAUUAAAAUAGAUCAAAGUUAUUUUACCUGAACGUCAAUAGUAUAUUUAUAAGGCUUGUGAUAGGCAAACUCAUUGAUUAACCAUUAGUAUAGUAUAUCUUUAGGCAAUCAAACCCAAUAAUCAAUAAUCAAUACAAUAUAUAUGUAAAGCGUAAGACAAUCUGACCUAUAAAUACAUGUUAAUUGUCCAUAUAAUACACUAUAUUUUAACAAAAUAGUAUUAUAUUAAAAGUAAAAUUUAAAAUUUAAACUAUAUUUACAAAUUCAUAAAUAUUAAAGUAUAAAUAAGAGUUGAGUAAACUAUUGAUAAAGUUUCAAUCCACUUACCUAACCCGAUACAAUUAUCCAUUUUAUUACUUAAUUUUAUUUUUUUAAUAUUCACAUUUAACUAAUUCAUAUGUUUCGGGUACGUCGAGUUACUUCAAACACCUAUACAAUUUCUCCUUAAAUGUCGCUUGGUUACAGUUCAUUCUCGUUUGUCUUUGCUUCUACCAUUUGGAGGGGUACCUGUCAAAGGUUCUCUAAUGUUUAAGUCAGUGCACAGUCCCUACGGUAAUCAACACAAUAGUAUUAUAUACACAGUAAAUGCGAUCACCUAUGAUGGAAGUCGCCUCUACCUUCAAGAAUGGAGCGGCUUCUCGAUCCAGAAGUGGUAGCGGAAUGGAGAUUGGUUAGAGAUGUUUUGUUGCUUGCAAGGUGUUUGAGAAAUUGUGUGGUAGUGUUCGGAUGUGGUGUGGUGAGGAAUUCUAACUCAGACGACUUUCCCUAGGGGAAAGGAGGUAGAGGGAAACAAGCUAAAAUAACUUCAAGCAAUGAAAUCGAGAGAAUGGCUGGAUUUCAGCAGCACUUCAUUAUCAUACUCAAGUUGGACUUUUACAAAGGAUUAAGCUCUCUUUUAUAGGAGAAGAGGAGUUGUCAAACGUGCCAAGGAAGCUAUCUAUAUUUCGAAGUAAAUGUGCUGAAGAAGCUUAUCCUACGUGGGUUUCAUUUUCCAGCUGAAACAUAUUAAUCACGUGCUAAAGGAGAGGAUGCUAGUCUUCUUCUGCUGAGCGACACUAAGGCAGCGCUGAGCGCCGGCUACAUGAUGCCUCUUAUUUGCUUCCUUUGUGCUAUCUUGCUUCACUACAAGAAAAGGAAGAAUUUUUGAAGGAAAUAUACCAACGGCCUUUUAGGCCUUCGGUAAAGUUGACUUAUCGAAGGAUGUAGCGACGGUCACUUCUGUGGUUGAUUACCGAAGGCUUUCGACCGUCGGUAAUGGUGCACUGAAUUUACCGAAGGUUUACGACCGUCGAUAUAAGCAUCGACUUAAUGAAAUGAGAAUUUGGGAUUUCCCUCUCCCAUUCUCCCAAUUUGUGUUUUCGUGCAAUCUUUCCCCAAUUCUUCCUCUCUCACUUCAUAACCCCAAAUUGCAUCUUCCUUUGUCAUUGAGAACCCCAAUUUCUUCAAUCAUUGUGUCGACGUCAGGGUAGUGCCGGUGAGGAGGGUGGUGGUUGACGGAUUACAUUGUUGCAAGGGGGUUGUUCGAAGGUGUUUGUUGUCGAGGUUGCUGUCGCAGCGUGACGACGAUGUUGUGGCAACCUGACGACAGUGUGUGGCGGUGUGACGAUGGUGUUGUGUCAGCGGGACUACGGUGUUGUGGUAGUGUGACGACGGUCUGGGCGGCAUGACGAGGGCUUCAACUGUCGCAGGGUGAGGCUAGUGUAGGGGGUCUGUGACGAGGUAAGGUCCUUCUGUGUGAAUGAAAUGUGUGCAAAUGUGUAAUGAAAACCCCUAAUUCACUUCCAUUCCAAAAAACAUAAGGUUAGGUUGACAAAGAAUUGGAAUUGCAGUAGGAAAGGGAGGAAUAGAGUCUUGGGAGCAGACGUGACCAAGCAAGGAAGGAAAAGCCCAAGGUAUGGUUCGGUGCUGCAAACUCAUGGUGAAUUUGAUGUGCUCUGUCAUCUUAUUUUGUUGCAAAGGCUACAUUGAAUUUGCAUGAUGUGAUGUGCUCUUUCAUUUUAUUUUGAUUCUUGUUUCUUGAAUUUGAUGUUGUUCUAAAUGAAUAAAUUUGUCUAGGAACCUUAGCUCAAGUAGUACUAAUCUUUUUGGAAACUACACCUUAAAUGUGAUAAAAUUUAUAGAUUAAAGAGAAGUAGCACUUCAUGUAAUGGUUUACCGAAUCACAAAUGGAGACCAAAGAAGUGAACCAUGCUUCCAAGGUACCCCUUAUACAACUGAGCAGCUGCUUCAGUUUCCAGAAUUAAUGAAUAUGCUUUCUCUUCUACUAGAGCCAAGGCCACAAUCUUAUAAACUUUAGCAGCCUAAUAAAUUCUAUUACAAUAACUAGUUAUUCUCUAGGACUCAUCAAUGUUAGUUGAUCAAAGUUCAACCAUGUUGGCUUUUCUACGGGCUAGUAAUUGGGGAACAUGUUUUGCCCCUUCUCACCAAGAUUACCAAAUCCUACAUUCAUCAGUAAAUCCUUUUUCCACAAGGUAUCUAAUCUUUUGUACAAGCUUCAGAAACGACCUCUUUAGAACCUUUGAGCGGUCACCUUAUCAAUGAGGUAUAGAAAUGGACCCAAGCAAGGAUUAAGAGGAUAUCGCUGAACCCUCUUGUAGGACCAAGAAAAUGCCUCAGGCAAAUCUUUUCCUCUUAAUUCCCUAAGCCAUCUCUUCACAUCUUUUCAUGAGAUAAAUAAAAGGCAAUACCUUUAGCUAAUAUAAAUCACAUUAGUCACAGCAAAAGUGAUCCAUCAACACCUAGAAAGAGGAAGUAAAUGAUGUGAAUACUUCUCACUUCUCCUAAAGCUUUGCCUUCCAUUUCAAUUUCUCUUGGUGUGUUGUUCUUCUUGCUUUUGUUGCAGUAAACACCAAUACCCUCUUAACAUGAUAUUCACAAAUUUCAUAUCAUUAUCAUAUAAUAUAUGGUUAAUAUAAUGUAGGCCUGGUAGGUAGCUACAUGAGCAUAUAUGCAUGGAGUGCUUACUUGUUCUUAUAUUCUAACAAGAAAACAAAAAAAUUUUAUCUCCCUAACAAGUGUACUAAAUAGGUACUAAAUAACCUAAAAACGUGUACUAAAUAGGUCACAAAUUGUGAAUUCACCUAAACUAACCUAAGAAUGUGUAUUCUACACAUCCUAACAAGUUUAAAGUAGUGAAAUGAAGGUAGGAAAGUAUUGAACAACAAAGAAUAACCUAAAACUCAAAGUUUGAGUUUUUAGUACCUAAAAAGUGUAUUUUUAAGGUAAAAAAUUGUCAAUUCACCUAAUGUAGACUCUUUCUAAGGUAUGUAAACAUCCUAACAAGUCUAAAGUAGUGAAAUCAAGGUAGGAAAGUAUUAAAAAGCAAAGAAUAACCUAAAACACAAAGUUUGAGUUGUUAGUACCUAAAAUGUGUACUUUAUCCCUUAUGAGAUGACAAUCAAUUUCAAUAUGCUUUGUCCUCUCAUGCAUGGUUGGAUUCUAUGCAAUUUGUAUAGCAGAUUGAUUGUCACAAAAUAGAGGAACUGGUUGUAGUAGAGGUUGUUUCAAAUCAUGGAGCAAAUAUAGAAGCCACUGAAUUUCACAUGUUGUGGAAGCUAAGGCUCAAUAUUCUGCUUCAGUUGAUGAUCUAGAUAUAGUACCUUGCUUCUUGGAUUUCCAGCUGAUUAACCACAGAACACAUUAAAACUAGUCACAAACCUUCUAGUGUCAGGGUAAGCAGCCCAAUCAGAAUCACUAAAAGCCUUGAGAGCAUGUUCUGUGUUGGAGGGAAAGAAUAAUCCUUGUCCUUGAUUAUUCUUGAUAUAUCUCAGGAUCCUUAUUGUUGCUGCAUAGUGAUCUUCCAAAGGAUUUGAAAGAAAUUGACUGAGAGUACUAACAACAAAACAUAAAUCUGGUCUUGUGUUGGUUAGAUAUAAUAACCUGCCAAGAAGUCUUUUAUAGGCAUGCACAUCUGAAUAGGGUUUCCCUUCUGUCUUGGAAAAUUUUGUACCUGACUGUAUAGGAGUAGAAACAGGUUGGCAUCCCAACAAUCCUGCAUCUUCUAGUAACUCUAGAGCAUACUUCCUUUGUGACAAAUUAAUGCCCUGUUGAUAUCUUGCAAUUUCUAAGCCCAAAAAAUAUUUAAGUUGGCCUAGGUCUUUAAUCUUGAACUUUGUAUUCAAUAAAUCCUUCACAGUCUGGAUUUCCUGAAUGUCAUCACCUGCCAAGACUAUAUCAUCUUCAUAAACAAGUAAGAUGGUGAUAUGAGCAUAAUCACUUUUGACAAAAAGUGAAUUAUCUGAUUUUGAUUGUAUGUAGCCCAAAGAAAGUAAAGUAGUUGUCAACUUGUAAUUCCAUUGUCUAAAGAAGAAAAUUAAUUUUUCAUCACGUUCUUCCACAACCAAUUUUGUUCUUGCUCAGAUCUUCAUCCUCUACCUUUAGUUAUUGGCUUUCCUAUUUUAUUUUCUCCCUCUAUGGCUACUCCCUCUGUUACUCUCACAUCAUUGCAAGAUACAACACACUACUAUUACAUUCACCCUAACGAGAAUCCUUCAUUGGUGCUUGUUUCUCCGAUUCUUGAAGGUCACAAUUAUCAUGGAUGGGCUCACUCGAUGUCUAUGGCACUACAAAUGAAAAAUAAGUUUGGCUUUGUUUAUGGUUCCAUUCCUUGUCCAACUGAUAAAGAUCCCAUGGUUCACGCAUGGAAGCAUUGCAAUAAUCUGGUUUUAUCUUGGAUCAAUCAUUUUGUUUCUUAUGAUAUUGCUACAAGUAUUAUCUGGGUUGACUCUGCCACUGCGGCAUGGAAGGAUCUCAAAGAUCGAUUCUCCCUCCCUAGGUGAUUAUGUUCAAAUUUCACAAUUGCAUCAAGAUCUUUAUUCAAUGCAUCAAUCUGACCUAAGUGUUACUGUAUAUUACACUAAAAUGAAGAUUCUGUGGGAUGAACUUUGCAAUUUACGCCCAAUUCCUAAAUGUCAAUCUUCUGCUUCUUGUUGUAUUGUUUCUAAGACAAUCAAGGAAUAUCGUGAAAAUAAUUGUGUUCUUUGCUUUCUUAGAGGCUUGAAUGAUAAUUACUCUGUUGUCCGCUCUCAGAUCCUUCUCAUGGAUCCCUUGCCUUCUUUACCCAAAAUUUUUCAAUGAUAAUUCAACACGAGCGACAAUUACAAUCAAGAAUUCUUUCUUAGCCUCUAGUCAUAGCGGCACAAGUUUCUCAAUCUAAACAUUCUUUUUCUACCUUCAAUGGUAGAGGUAAACCCUCUCUUGCCAAUGAUUAUGGCUGGGGAAAAUCUUCAUUUCAAGGUUUUCAGGCUCGUUAUCAAGGUUCUCAGGCUCGUUCCUCAGGGGGAAGGUUUGGUGCACCUCGACAAUGCACUCACUGUGGUAGGACAAACUACACCAUUGAUACAUGUUUUUUGAUACAUGGAUUACCACCUGAUUUCAAAUCAAAAAAGGUCCACAGUGUUACCACAAAUUCUUCAACAACGGUUCCUUAUAAUAAUUCUCAGGCACAGUCACAUUCCUCAACUUUGGGACUUUCUCAAGAGCAAAUUCAUGGUCUAUUGGCACUUCUCCCUCAAUCUAAUCCCACAGCCCCACAUUCUACCAAUCUAGUGAACUCUCAUAAUAUUUCCACUUCUUCUCAAGCUCAAGGUAAUAUCUAUUCCCAAUGGAUUCUAGACACAGGUGCUACUGAUCAUAUAUCCAAUUCUUUGUUUCUUAUAUAAAAACACAAUUUAUAUAAGAUCACAACUUAUUGGUUUUGUUUCUUAUAUAAAAACACAAUUUGGCAUUUAUGUAAAAGCUGUUAGAUCGGAUAAUGGUAAUGAAUUUGCAAUGACAAAUUUUUAUAGACAAAAAGGGAUAUAACAUCAAUUAUCUUGUGUUGAAACACCUCAACAAAACGGAGUUGUUGAGAGAAAACAUCAACACAUUCUCAAUGUUGCUAGAUCUUUAAUGUUUCAAUCCCAUUUGGCAAAAUUUUUUUGGUCUUUUGCUGUUCGUUAUACUGUGCAACUCAUUAAUAUUUUACCUUCCAAAAUUUUGGCAUAUUUUUCUCCAUCUCAACUGUUACACAAUGUUAAACCUGACAUUACUUACUUGCGAGUUUUUUGCUGAAUUUGCUAUGCUUCCACUCUUCCAGUACAAAGAACAAAAUUUCAACCUCGUGCAAGAAAAUGUGUUUUACUUGGUUUUAAAACAGGAGUGAAAGGCUACCUUUUGUUAGAUUUCAACCCUAGGGAAAUUUUUAUAUCAAGGACUGUAGUAUUUUAUGAAAACAUAUUUCCUUUUCUUACUAGUGACAAGCACACACCUAUUGAUACACAAAACUCCUUGGAUUUUGUCACCAAAAUCAAUUCAUCUCUAUCACCUCUUUUCUCAAAAGUUACUGACCAACCCUCUUUACCACCUACAUCUCCUCCUUCUAUUACUCCAGACCCUGUUAGUUUUUCUUCUCAACCUGUUUCUGUUGAACCUGCCACUGCUACUCCACAAAGGAAAUCAACCAGGCUCGGAUACCAUAUUAGGAAGUGGGUUUAAGCCUAACUCAACCCCACAAAACCGGCUUGUAAGGUGAAGUUUGCACCUCACUUAUAUAUUAUAAAUUGGCCUUAUCUCUAGUCGAUGUGGGACUUUCAACAGUUCUUUUGGUCAUCCUCUGCCCAUUUAAUGACAGAUUUACUUUCAUCUUCUUUGCCACCUGUAGCUUCUUUUUCCUCUUCUUUUAAAUCCUAAAUCCCAUCUCAGAAAUCCAUAUUAUUAAAAUUUAAAAAGUUGCUAAAUUCCAUGUAUUCAACUCUCACCAUGCCACGUCUUAAAAAAUAGACACAUCAACCUACCACAUGUGCACAAACUUAACUUCGUUAAAUAAAUUUAACGGUAGGGGCUCAAUCGAUUCAAAUUAGCACUCAUAAGGACUCAAUCAGGGAUUCUAAUAAGAAGGGGAUCAAAAUGGAAAAAACCCCACAUAAAUAGGGACAACUAAAGGAUUGAAACCUUAGAUUAAUGUUGUGGUAGCAACAUCCUAACCAUUACCACUAGUAUAAAUAAGUUGGAUCAUUGUAAUCAAGCCAAAAAGAACAAAGCAAGACAACAUCUACAUCUACAAAAACAACUACAACACUUCUUUCAACUACUAUCUCCACAUUUUCUCUUCAUUUCACUAUCUCUACAUUUUCUCUACUCUAUCAAUUAUUCCUUUCACAACCUCAAACUACUAACAGUUAUUUUUUAUUUCUUGAGGGAGCAGUAGACACCAUCUUUAGAAAUGUUUCUCUUGACAACCAUUUCUUUCUUGAAUCAAGCCUUCAAAAGAGAAGGUAUUAGGUGGUUAUUUUUGAAAUACUUAAGGUCGUAGUGUACCUUGUGUUGAAAAAUCUUUACGACUACAUUUGAGAGAAAACAUAAGGAUUUGAAAUUGGAUUAUCAAAUGAGUUACGUAAAAGUAUAGGGCAAACUACUACAUCUGAGAGAGAGAUUGAAGCAAUGAGAGUUGUGGAAUGUAAAUGCUUCUAAGAAUCCAUUCUUGGAACUUAAUUGUACAUGCAUUAUUUCUUAGUUAAAAAAUAGCAUUCAAGUUGUUUGUGAGCAUUGCAUGUACCUUCCAUUUUGUAUUACUUUGGUUUCCAUCUAUUCACUGUAUAUUAAAACAAAUGUUAUGCUUAGAACUCAUGUCAAUUGUUGUUGAACCAAAUUUUCUAGGGUUUUGCUCCCUCUACCACCACCCUUUCUCCCUCCACCUCCCCAACCCUCUAUAAAAAAUUUUUAAUUAUAAAAAUAGCCUUUUUUUUACUUUUAAUCCUAUUUAUUUACUUUAUUUUGAAACUCUAAAUUCCUAUCCAUUUUUACUUACUCUUUUUCACUCGCGCAGCCCCAUCCUCCCACUCUCUCAAGUCUCACUUUCUCCCUUUCCAGAUUCCCACCCCCCAACUCUCACCAGAUCCGUUUCUUCUCAUCUCCCACCAUUUCUUCUCAUCUCCCAACACUUACUUUUCUUCUCCAUAUCUGUUUGGUUCUUCUCCAUAUUCCUAUCUCCAUAUCCAUUUGGUUUUGUGGUGUGGCAGUGCGAGGUGUUUGCGGUGGUCAUUCAACGGUACAACGGUUCCAAACGAUAAUGAAUAUUUUAUGACUAACAUCAUAAAAAAAUAAUUUUAUUUACAUUGAUAAAAAAAUGAAAAAUGUGUACAUGAAUUAAUUAAAAAAUUUCAAAUUUUCAAAAUUCUUACUAUUUAAUUCUAAUUUAAAAUUUUCUAAAUUUAUAUGUUCAAAUUCUUGUCUUAAAGUUAUAAAUUUCAAUAUUUUAAUUUUUUUAUUUAAAUGAUUAUAUAAAAUGUUUCAACCUUUUUUAUAAAAUUAAUUAUCCUCCACAAUAUUUUUUCUGACACAUUGUGACAUAUAUUUCUUCCUCAUUUAUCAACAUUUUUUUUAUGUGAGAUUGCUUAACUCUUCGUACGUUGGUGUGGGUAAGACAAACAAUCAGAAAGUUCAAAAGAUACAACAAUGGAAAGAAGCAUAAAAAGCAGAGAGAGACACAAGAAAAUGAAACAUAGAAACAUGGGUCUACCAUUAAAAUGAUUGUGUUAUUUAGGUGAUGAGAUCGAAUAGAGAAAGAAACAGCAUAAUUGUUAAUAACAAAUGUUUGUUGGUUAAGCAUAAAUCAAAUCAUCGCAUUCAUGUAGGGAAUUGAGGUGGAUAGAAGUUAAAAAAUAUUAAUUCUAAAAAUAAAAUUCUAUUGAAGGGUAAAACAAGAAUAGAAAGGAGGUAAAAGGGAUAAACAGAAAUGGGGAGGUGGAGGGAGAAGCGGUGAUGGUGAAGAGAGCAACACCCAAUUUCUAACAUUUAUCUCAUAUUGGCACCUGAUAAUAUAUUUUUUUUAUAGUUUAAAAUUUGCAUGCUUUAUUUACUUUUCAUUAUAAUUCAAUUUAACCCUAUUUGUAUCGUCGUCACUAAAAAAUAGUUUAUUUAGUUAAAACGUAAAAUAAAUAUAUCAACAUAUUUACAAUUUAAAAUUGGACAAAAUUACAUUAAAAAAUAUAUAACGACUAAAAUAACUAGAACGUAAUCAUAUAUUUUAAAAAAAAAUAUUAUAAAAUAGUUCUUGGAGAAUUACUUGCAAAAAUAUUAAUUGAAAAAAAUAUACUUACAAAUUUAAUUUUGGAAGAAAAAUUAAUUGAGAAUUAUUUGGCAAGAAAUUACUUGCGAACUUAAAAUAUGUAAUAAAAUUACUUGUGAAAAUUUAAAUUUGUAGGAAAAAAUACCUAUUGAUUUUUAAAUUGACUUUUUCGCAAGAAAAAUUGUUAUGGUUUUUUUUUUCAUGAAAAUUUGUGGCUGAAUUUUUUAUUGGAACUUUUGCAAGAAAAUUCCUGCGAAAUUUUUAAAUUCUAUGGUAACUAAUUACUCACAAAAGAAUUACCUACCAAUCAAAAUUUAUAGGAUAAAUUGUAAGAAACACUCUUUUUGGAAAUUUUGGAAAUAUAAUGUUAAAUUGUCUGGGUAAGCUAGUUUGUGUUCAUUGCAGACCUCGCUAGAUGAAAAUUUGCAUUUGUGAUUUUUGUUUUCUAUUAUUUUUAUGUGUUAUAGACUUUGAGCUUCAUUUUAGAGUUUUUAGGUUUUCUUAAACUUAUGUGUCUAUAUAUAGAGGUACCAAAGUUGAUGUAAACAUUUUUUAGUCAUAUUAUAUGCAUUUGUAUUUUUUGAGAGAGAAAUUGGUUCUUAGAUUAGAACUGUGAUCCUUAUUAAAGAUUAACAUCUUUGGGGUGAAUAUUCAAUUAACUUAUCAAUAUGUUAGAUUAUGACAUCUCCGUCUCUAUCUUAUUUUGCAUACUUUUGUUGCGCCUCUUAAGAGAAAAGAAAGAAAAAAGAGCGGAGAAAGAAAAUAGAGAAAGAGAGGAGAAAGAAAAGGAAAGAGAGGAUGAUAAAGAAGAAAAAGAGAGAAAAAUAAAACAAAGAACAAAGAGAAAAAUAAGAGAGCAUCUUCUUUUGUCAUUAAAAGAAAAUCCUAACUAAUCUCUUUUAGUUUUGUUGUGUAGGGAAAAUUUGUUUAUCAAGAAAUCAUGGAAUCAACAAUGGAAGGAAGACAUGGUGACAGAAAAGGAAGACACAAGCUUAGAACUAAAAAACUUGUGUUUUAUAAUCGGUGAGCUUGCUUGUCAAUUCAUUUAGAUAUUCAAAGUCAUUCUUUUAGUAUGGAAACAAACUCAUAUCCAAAACCUUAAGACAACGGGUUAAUAGAUCUUUCAUCUUUAUAUAGUGUUUUACUUUCUCAUUUCUAUCCAACGUGGGACUUAAACUCACAUUUGGAUUCCAAACACUCAAAACUAUGUGCACAUGAUGGUUUACUUAGAAAAUAUUCUUUUGAUUUUUUUUGAGAUUGCAUCUUUAAUUUAAAAUUGUUUGAAGACUUACACGUGGAUAUUUGACCCUGGAGGUAGACCUCUAAAGCUUUGAUAAUAAGAUAUUGGCCUCUUUCAGAAUCCAAAUAUCCUUUUAGUAGUAUUUUUUUAUUUGAUGAUUUUAGAUUUGUUUUUCUUUGAUUUAUGUUUGUGUUUCUGUAUAGGAUCUUCUAGAAUUUAGGUCGAAUUUUCUUCAAACACGAGAGAAUGACAAGGAAUCUUCAAGUGGUACGAAUUUGAGAACAAAUUCCUUUUAAGAAGGAAGAGAAGACUAUCCCAUAAACAUAUAUGAGAAGAACUUCAGGAAAAAUAUUUGCAAUUAAAAUAAUUUACGACAAAGUUAAAGAUUAAAACACGUAUUUUUGAAACUUAUAAUGUUUCAUGAAUAAGGAAACUUAAAGAACAUGAAAAUACAAUUUAGGAAAUUAAGUAGAUUGUAAUUUUAUUUAAAUUUUAUAGAAGGAUAAAUUCCUUGGAUGGGCUAGUUUGUGUUUAAUGGGGUGAGUGUGUGUCUAUAGUUUGUGUUUAAACAUCUUUUUAUGUCUUGGACUUUGAAGUGUAUUUACAUAUUUAUUGAGAGAGAAUUAUCUUUGAUCUUGGAUUUUAAGUCUGAUAUUUAUUAAAGAUUAAUAUGUUUAUGAGAAAUAUUCACUAUUGACAUUUUUUGUUUCUGUUUUAUUUUAUAUACUUUUUUAAAUUAUUUUUAUUAUACCUCUUGAUAAUUAAAAUUAGAAAAGAAUUGUACUUUUUCUAAACAGGAUUAUGUCACUUUUAAACUAAAUUUUUCAUUCAAAUACAUUAUUUUAAUUUCUUUUUAUUUAUUUAUUUUCUUUUUCGUUUUGCUCCUCCCUCGACAGAAUUCACAGAAUCCCAUUUUUGAAAAUUGGUCGCCGUAAAAAGGAAUUCCAGUAAAGAAUAUGAAGAAAAUGCUACAACACUAGGUUAAAAUUUGACACUCAAAAACCGAGUUCCUACUUUCAAACACAUACUUUAACUCAUUCCUAAACUCUAAAUCUUAAAGAAAGCCAAUAAGAAUAGUUAAACAUAAGAACACUUGACUUUGGCUUUCAGAAGCUGUAACAGAGAAGAGACACAGAAAAGAGACAGAGAGAAGAGACAAGAGAUAGGAGCCGAGAGAGAGUCUUCAUUUCAAGGCUGAUUAAUUUUUAUGAUUUUUAAAAAUUACAACUACGCUAAAAAACAAAUGAAAUAGAGUAAUGACUUUUUUUGUCAUGAUAUAUACAGUCUUUUAAAUUUCAUACAUACAGUCAUGAAUUGAGACUGUAAUUUAAUUUAGAUUUAUAUUUGAGUUUCCAAUACUUCAGUCUUUACUAAAAUAAUAUUAAAUUUAUAUGAAAUUAGUAUUAUUGGUGAAAAAAAAUCACAUCUAGCGUGGAUUGAUCCAUUGCUUGACUUUUAUAAAACAAUGUACCACAUUUAAAAAUUGAGAAAAAGAAGCCAACAGUUAAACGUAAGAAGCUUUAAAGAUGUGAUGAAUUUUAUAGAUAUUUUUGAAAAAGUGAUCGCGUAAGGUGUAGGAGGGGUAGUAUAAAAGAGGUGUUAUAUAUGGUUGAUUGAAGCAUAGAAAACAUUGGUAGGUUAUAUGAAAAAGAAGAUGGGAAACUGUGGGAUGCUAGUUUUGUUGGUUAUGCUACUAAUUUCGGAGCCUACAACACUUGCUGAGUUCAGCAGUGAAGGUUCACUUGUGCAACAUAUGAAGACAGUACGUCUUGCUGCCAUUUUUGUAAACCCUAGAAAACCGCCUCGCAUCCCUAUCCCGGGGACUCCAAACCCUAGAACUCAUCCUAGGCCGCCUCCGACACACUGACCUAAAAACCACUAUGCUCCGUUGCCGUAGCCUAACCCUAUUUUUCAUCAUAAACAAUCUUUCUCAUCUUUCACUAAAUAAAUAAACAAACAUCUUCACUUUCUUCUUUCUCUUUUAUAACUAAAUUGUACUCCUAAACAAAUUUAUAUAUCUUUUUUGCAACUUCCUUUGUUAGUUUGAUGAUAUGUAAUAUUCAAAUUUAUCUCGAGUUGAGUAUAUUUUUAGUAUUUCUUACAAUAGAUUCAAUUAUCAUUAACAUUAUUAGACACAAAAGCAUAUCUAUUUAUUCUUUUAUUUAUGAAAAGCUUUUUAUCCAAGACAAGAUUUGUUUCCAUACCCAAACUAACCAACUAAUUACCAAUAUUCAAUUAAGAUCCUGAAAAGAAAAAGUAAUAAAUUAUACUCAAUUUAUAAAUUAGUAGCUUCUAUUUAAAAUUAAUAAGGAUUUUUCUCAAAUUAAAGUUGUUUUCAGCCAGUUUGAGAUGUCAAUUAUGAAACUGACAUAUAUGCAACAACAUAAAAAGUGUCAAUUUUUUAAGUCAGUUUUUUUAACCUAAUAUAGAAAAUGUGAUUUUCCACUUUUUUUAUUUUUAUUCAGUUGCUAUUUGAUCUCUGUGAAUGACUCACAAAGCCAGUUUCAGAAGAGUGGGAAAAAUGUGUGAUUUUGUUGGGUGAGGGCUUGGGGAAGAAGCCCUUAACACUACACCAAAAUGUUUAAUAGAGAGCAUUUUUUUAAUAAUGGACAGGGUUUUUUAGCGCUUUCUAUUAGAACGAUGUCUACUAAUAAAUAGUGCAUUCUAAUGGCACUUUAUAGACAAUGCUUCGAAAAAAUAUACGCUUUUUAUAUAUUUUUCAAAAGGGUAAUGAUAUUUUAACAAUACUUUUUGACAACUUUUUUUACAAUGGAAUACGUGUCAUCACUUUAUUGAUCUAUUUGAAUUUACGUUUAAAAAGUAUUUAAAACAGAUCAAUCACAAGCUGACACGUAUGUGUUGUCAAAAAAUUGUUAAAAAAAUAUUGUUAAAAGAAAUUUUUCCUUUUCAAAAGACAACUUUUUACGAAAAGUGUUUUCUAUCAGAUCACUCGUAGGGCUUGUUUUUCCAAUGCACUCUCUAUGUAUGGUUUAAAUAGACAACGCUUCCUACAAAAAGUGUUCUUUAUCACUCUUCUAUAGAUACUGAAUUAUGCUUUAAUAGACGACGUUUUUUCAAACAAACAUUCUCUAUUGUUUCAAUUUUUUUUUUUUAUAAUCUAUUUAGUUUUUCAUCCAACGCCCCAGAUUUUGUAAUCUUUUUUUUAAAAAAAAAAACCCAUAACAAUAAAUAAGUGAUGUUAACCAAUAGGUGUGGCAAAAUUAUUUCUGUUUCUUUCGAUGUAUAGGACAGUGUUGGAAAGGAUAUAUUUAUUCUUUUGCAUUUAUGCAUGAGCGUCAGUGAAGAUUGUAUUUUUUAACCCUUUUGCAUGGAUGCAGUAGCUAUUAGGAAGAGAAAGUAUUAUAUGAAAUUUUAUUCAUGCAUGGGAUGGGUUGUAGAGAACAUUUUGGUGUAGGCGGAGGAAAUAAAAUCCUCAGACACACAAAAAUAUAAUUGCUUCGCAUGUUUUUAAGGGGUAUAUCUACAUACCCUUAAAACCCACCGUUUUAUAUCUUAGUUACUAAGGCUAUUUUAGGAAGCAAAAUGAACCUAGAUAGGAAAUUGUUGGGCAGGGUAUUAGAUGGGUGUUAGGGUUAGGGUAGAGGAGAGUAACAUAUAAGAAGAUUUUAAGUAACAAGAGGGGACACACUAAACCUAAAGGGGCAGCGGUAGAAACAGAAGGCGGCAUAGGAAACUUUAGAUUCAUCUUUUCCUUGAGAACCUAGAGGCUUUGAUGUGGGAUCGUUCUGUGUUGCCGUGGAGGAAGAGGGAUUCUUUUAAAGGGAUGCUGAGAACCUAGGAGGGUGUAGCAAAUCACUGGAAGCCAUAAAUUAUCUUCGGUCGUGUGAUGCGGGAAGAUAAUGAUUUGGCAAUGAUGACUCUUUCAGUCGUGUGAUGUGGAAAAGAAACUUCGACGGUGUAAUGUGGGAAGAUGAUGAUUCGGUAGUGACGACUCUUUCGGUCGUGUGAUGCAGAAAAGAACUUCUAUUUAGUCGUGUGAUUAGGUGGUGUGGCUGUGUGGGAGUGUAGAGAAAAUAGAGCAUUGAGUUGUUAUGUUAUUGUUGUUAUAUUAUUGUUGUGAUGCUAAUGUUGUUAUGAUAUAUGUUUAUGAUUUGAUUAUUGUUAUAGUUAAUAUGAUUAUUGUAUAUUGUGUGAUAUGAUAAUUCCGGUUGCUCACCCUGAAAUAUUGUGGUUUUGGUUUCCAUUUUCGAUGAUCGUACUUAUACGGGAGUAGAUAAUUUGCAGAUAAGAUCGGAUCUGAGUAGUUGACGAGAUGUUAUGUUCGGGGAUUUAUUAUUUAUUUUUUAUUAUUUAAAAGUUUGCCGAUUUGUUACUUUUAUGCAAAAGUAAUAUUAUGAGAUUUCCCGACAAUAUUUAUGAUUAUGUUUAGAUUUCAUAAAUGUAUUAUAAAAAGGUUUAAAAAAAAUUGCACCUGGACUUCUAAAAAAUAAAUAAAAUAAAAAAAAAUGGGAUGUUACGUUUGGUAUCAGAGCUUGCCUGGUUAUCAAAAUUUUGUUUACUUCAGUUUAUUAAUAAAAAAUUAUUAUCAGAACAAUAAGGAAAAAAACAUAAAUAGUAAGGCUACCAGAUAUAGCUUUCUAACAUGUUGCCAAUAAUUUCCUAUUUUUAACAUGUUGGUAGUCAGACAUAGCUCUUUAGGUUGUGCAAUUCCAUUAAAACUGCAAUUUAAAUCAUUCAGAGUCCACUAUAUAAUGACUUCAUGGUUGAACUCACUCUUAGUUAGAGUCCAAUGUAGUUUUACAAGUCAAUAGAUUCAAAUUAGCAUGAGUAAUGACUUUUGAUAUUACAUACAAAUUUUAAUUUCUUACAUACAAAUUGUAUCCUUAGGUAAAAUUCCUGCCUAAACACACCAACAUUACAUACAAAUUUUAUGUACAAAUAUGUCGAUAGGUAAAAUCUGUAUGCAACUUGUUUUUCAUGAGCCGUAUAUAAAAUUCAUAUGUAAUACCUAUGUUACAUACAAAUCAAAAUUCGUAUGUAAAUAUCGAUAGGUAAUAACCAUUUUUUUGUUGUGAUUAAAAUGAAAUGUAUAGAUUCAAAUUAGCAUGAGUAAUGACAUAUUUUUAUAAGAUAAUAUACAAGUAUAACAUACUAACCUAUAAUAAAUAUUUACUAAUAAGAUAUUAACAUGAAUCUUCCAUAACUUCAAUGAUUUGAUUAUUGACAUCUGCAAUUAGGAAAAUACUACGACAAAGAAAAAUAAUAUAAAAUUAGUCAAUUAAAAUUCUACCACAAAUUAAUUAUAUAUACAAUCAAUAUAACUUGCAUUGAUUGACAUUGUCUCUCCUUCACAAAAGGUGAUAAUUUCCUUCAUAUAGCAACAAAUGUAAUACCCAUAAUCAUUGUUGUUGGCUUGUUUUGGACACUAGAAAACUAAAAGUAAAAAACAUCAAUAAAAUUGGUAUGAACAACAUCAAUUGAUCUUGAAAUAAAAAAUUGUAAUCUAUCUUAAUUGGUAUCUACUUGAUAUGGUUUAAUUUGAACUUUAAAACCAUAUUUUCUUUUUUGAGCUCGAUAGGUUUGUAUAACCUUAGUUAACAAAUAAAAGUAAAGCAUAUAUGAGUAAAAAAAAAUACAACUACAAGUAUACAUAUAUUUGAAUCACACGUAUAUUCUUACAUGUCAAACAACUUCUUCAAAUCUUGCGUCAUAUUGAUGUCUUUCGCCAAUGGAUUAAGAUAGUGAAUUAUCUCAUUCAAGAUGAUUCCGAACAAGACCCAAUGAUGGCUAAAAUUUGAAACGAAUCACAAAAUUAGAAUUCAUGCAUCUAACUUUGAAAAUAAUUAGUAAAGUUGGAAAGAAAGGUAUUGUCCUAUAUUGAUAGGUGCAAGAACAAACAUAUAAAUCACCCCAUUAUCAAGAAAAAUAAUGACUAUUUUUUGCAUUCUCUCUUUCAUUGAAAGUUCAUGUGUUGUUAUUUGGGGUGAUGAAAAUAAGAAAUCCUCAUGAUUUGGCUUAUAAAAUUUUGAUAUAUAUUUAUUCCGUCAGGCUUAAUCAUAACCACAUGUCACAUGUUAUACGAGUUGCUUUGCAUACCAUAUAGAUAUAUUCUAUAAGUAGACAAAGCAAGAUAUGAGUUUCGUACUUCUUUCUCAAAAUUAGGAUAAUCAUGGUCAACUUUUUCCCAUUAAAGAUAGAUAGAAUGUGGAAACUUUCCAUCAGUUAUCCUUUCCUCCACAUGUAAUCUUAAGUUGUUUACAUAAUUUGACACAUUUAAACUCAAAUGUCAAUUCUUAAACAUCACUUAAUAUAUAAAAAAUUAAACACAAUAACAAAUUUCAAUUUUAAUGUAUAUAAAGAGUCAUGAAAGCAUCAAAGCCCAUAAUAUGUCUACAUUUAAGAAAUAAAACUAAACAGUUGUGUGAUGAAAAUGUUUACUCGGUCAAUUAGGAUUAAUGAGUAUAGAGGAGGAUCAAGUUUGGCAAAAUUUAAAAUAUUACUUAACGACAAAAGAUUGAUAGAUGUAUCUCAAAAAUGCAUUACAGAAAGAAAACAAAGGCAAUGGUUAGCUUCAAAAAGCCGAAACACCCAAAAUUAUUUUCUAGCAAAUUUCCAGUAUGCACUAGAAAACUGGAAAAGGCCUUUCUCUCUUAUCUAAUAUUAAAUCUAACAAACAGCAUAGCUACAACCCAUGCUUCGAACUUUCAGUAAUAAACUGCAAAAACGAAUACAAACGUGAUAUAUUUUAAAAUUAACCUUUAAAUUUUAAUGUAAUGUAGGCUAGUUAAAAUCCCAUCUAACCCCUUCUAUCACUAUAUUCUAUAUAUUACCAGUUCUACCCUUGUCAAUCUCCCUUUUUUCGGUUUUGUUUAAUUGCUUUUUAGAAAACUUUUUGUAAUUUUUAGAACAUGGAUUAUGGUUAUUCUUAUUUUAUUUUUCUCUUUUUAAUAGACUAUUGCAUAUGAUUAUCGAAGCACGGCAUCUUAAUUAGGUUGACGCAUAUUCAAAAUAAUCUAGCAUAAAUUUAUAAAAAAAAAAAAAAAAAAACUAAAACACUUGUAAAAUUACAUGUAAUAUCCUCUCUCUCUCUUUUUAUAUAUAUAUAUAUAUAUAUAUGGGGUUUGCUAACUUGCGUACGCCUAUUUUUCAGUUGGUACAUUUUAGCAAUGUGUACCGGGUUUCGGUAGACAAAAAUACCCUUAUAUCAUGAAUUCUAAGUUUUAAGGUUAAGGAUAUUUUAAUAAUUUUCAUUCUCAAAAUUAAAAAAAAAAAAAAAAUCUCCCCAAACCCUUGCUCACCUCUCUCAUUCCUCUCAACCCUUUCUCUUUCAUCUUUUUUACUCCAACCUUUUCUUCUCUCUGUCAUCCUUACUCUAGCCCCAAUUGAAAAAAAUCAGAAAUACUUGCCUUAUUUUAAUAAUUUUCAUUCUCAAAACUAAAAAAAGAAACCCCAAACCCUUACUCACCUCCUUCAUCUCUCAAUCCUUUCUCCUUCAUCUCUCUCACUCAAACAUUUUCUCUGUCAUCUUUGUACUAGCCCCAACUAAAAAAACACUCAUUAUUAAAUAAAAUGGUUAGAGAAAAANNNNNNNNNNNNNNNNNNNNNNNNNNNNNNNNNNNNNNNNNNNNNNNNNNNNNNNNNNNNNNNNNNNNNNNNNNNNNNNNNNNNNNNNNNNNNNNNNNNNNNNNNNNNNNNNNNNNNNNNNNNNNNNNNNNNNNNNNNNNNNNNNNNNNNNNNNNNNNNNNNNNNNNNNNNNNNNNNNNNNNNNNNNNNNNNNNNNNNNNNNNNNNNNNNNNNNNNNNNNNNNNNNNNNNNNNNNNNNNNNNNNNNNNNNNNNNNNNNNNNNNNNNNNNNNNNNNNNNNNNNNNNNNNNNNNNNNNNNNNNNNNNNNNNNNNNNNNNNNNNNNNNNNNNNNNNNNNNNNNNNNNNNNNNNNNNNNNNNNNNNNNNNNNNNNNNNNNNNNNNNNNNNNNNNNNNNNNNNNNNNNNNNNNNNNNNNNNNNNNNNNNNNNNNNNNNNNNNNNNNNNNNNNNNNNNNNNNNNNNNNNNNNNNNNNNNNNNNNNNNNNNNNNNNNNNNNNNNNNNNNNNNNNNNNNNNNNNNNNNNNNNNNNNNNNNNNNNNNNNNNNNNNNNNNNNNNNNNNNNNNNNNNNNNNNNNNNNNNNNNNNNNNNNNNNNNNNNNNNNNNNNNNNNNNNNNNNNNNNNNNNNNNNNNNNNNNNNNNNNNNNNNNNNNNNNNNNNNNNNNNNNNNNNNNNNNNNNNNNNNNNNNNNNNNNNNNNNNNNNNNNNNNNNNNNNNNNNNNNNNNNNNNNNNNNNNNNNNNNNNNNNNNNNNNNNNNNNNNNNNNNNNNNNNNNNNNNNNNNNNNNNNNNNNNNNNNNNNNNNNNNNNNNNNNNNNNNNNNNNNNNNNNNNNNNNNNNNNNNNNNNNNNNNNNNNNNNNNNNNNNNNNNNNNNNNNNNNNNNNNNNNNNNNNNNNNNNNNNNNNNNNNNNNNNCUGUACAUAAGAAUUAUCUUAGACUUUAAAUUUUAUUAAUAAAAUUGCCGGCUUUGACCACAAAAGUCUAAUAACCAUAAAAAAUCAAACUUCCACACUUUGGCUUUGACCACUUUACUAGUGUUGCCGAGUCAUCAAUAUUUCAGUUUCCUGUUUUCAGAGUAUUAUUUAAUAAACCAAGUGACGCCUAUAUAUUGUCUACUUCGUUGCUCCUCGCCAACUCUGUUCUUUCUAUUCUUACACCCUUCUCUGCAAACAUGUUGCGGUUGCCUUAUGCUAUUGUUUUCCUUUUGACUGCAGCAUUUGUGGUGUUAUGCUCAUGUGGUUGCAAUGAAGAAGAAAGGCAAGCUCUUCUAAAGAUCAAAGGAAGCUUCAAAGAUCCUUCAAGCCUUUCAUCUUGGGAAGGAACUAAUUGUUGCCAAUGGAAAGGUGUAGGUUGCAAUAAUCUUACAGGCCAUGUUGUCAAGCUUGAUCUCAGAAAUCCUUGUUAUCCCUUACAAGGAGAUUUUCAACCAAAUUGUAAGUUUUACGAUCAUGUCCUUGAAGCUCAACAUGUUCACCCUUCUAUAUUGCAGCUUAAAUAUCUAACUUACUUAGAUUUAAGUGGAAACAGAUUUCAUAAUAGUUCAAUACCAUCGUCCAUUCAAACGCUGCAGCAUCUGCAAUUCCUUUAUCUCUCUGAUAGUCAGUUUAGUGGUAGGAUCCCAUACAAUCUUGGGAAUCUCACUAAAUUGCUCAUUCUUGAUUUGAGCUUCAAUCAUCAUCUGUAUGCGAAUGACUUCUACUGGAUUUCUCAACUUUCAUCCCUCCAAUACCUUUACAUGAGUGAUGUGAAUCUUGAUAAAGCACAAAAUUUGUUGCAGUCACUCAACAUGCUUCCUUCUUUGAUAGAAAUAGAUUUGAGAAAUUGUGGACUCGAUAAAUUGCACACCCAUCAACAUAUUAGCACCACAAACCUUUCCAGACUGGAAUACCUCAAUCUAGCAGAAAAUGGACUUCAGACUCCGUUUCUGGAUGCUUUUCAAAAUAUGACUUCCAUUGCAAUCAUUGAACUUUCUCACAACAACCUGAAUUCCACUCCCUUCUGGUUGGAAACCUGUGCUAACCUCGUCAGUCUAUUUCUUGAUAGUAAUGCUCUUUAUGGCUCACUUCCAUCUGCUUUGCAGAAUCUGACUUCCCUGGUUUCUCUCGACCUUUCACAAAACAAGUUUGAUUCUGUUCCGGGUUGGUUAGGUGAGUUAAGGGGUCUUCAAUACCUCAAUCUUUCAAGUAAUGAUGUCAAUCAUAUUGAGGGAUCUCUGGCAUCUCUUCUGGGAAACUGUUGCCAUCUUCAACAAUUAUAUAUGUCAAGAAACAAAAUUCAAAGUGAUGCACUUGGAAACCAUAUACAUUUUGAAUGCAUUAGGCACGAUUUAAUGUACUUGGAUUUAAGUUACAACGAAUGUAAUGGUCCUUUGCCAGCAUGGUUGGGACAGCUUGAAAAUCUAAGUUCAUUGAUUAUGACUGACAGUAACUUGGUGGGAUCACUUCCUUGUGCUAUGAUAACAAAACUUGUCAAUCUGGAGAAUUUGGUGCUUUCCAACAAUAACUUCAAUGGUUCUCUUCCUGACUGUAUCGGAGAACUUGUCAGUUUAAAAAUUUUAAUUCUUUCUUCCAAUCAUUUUGAUGGGGUCAUUCCAAGAAGUUUAGUGCAACUUGUAAGCCUAACAGAUAUAGAUCUUUCACGAAACUCUUUAAAUGGUACCAUUCCUCACAAUAUUGGUCAACUUCAAAAUUUGUCGACCCUCUAUCUUUUUGAAAAUAAGUUACACGGAAACAUUCCUUUCAGUCUUAGUCAGCUUCUAAACCUUCAGGACUUAGACAUAUCCCUAAAUCAUUUGGAGAAUUUGGUGUCUGACAUAAGAUGGCCAAGGCAACUUGUCUACUUAAAUCUCACGGAUAAUCGUAUCAGUGGGUCACUUCCCCAUGAUAUUUCUGAUAGCUUGCCCAAUGUCGGAUACUUGCUUCUUGGAAACAACCUCAUAAGUGGUCCUAUUCCAAACUCAUUGUGCAGAAUAGGCUCCUUGUACAAUCUUGACCUUUCAGGAAACAUGUUAGUUGGUGAAAUUCCUAACUGUUGGAGUGUUACUCAAAGACUCGGUGUCAUAAAUUUGGCAUCCAACAAAUUAUCAGGUGUCAUUCCUAGCUCUCUUGGUAAUCU
RNAcentral lists this long non-coding RNA (62076 nucleotides) under Vigna radiata. RNAcentral's name for it is "long non-coding RNA (VRAD_LNC007949)". Lineage: Eukaryota; Viridiplantae; Streptophyta; Magnoliopsida; Fabales; Fabaceae. The record is from RNAcentral.